AGCCACCACCAAACCCAAAGCCGCCACGGAAGAAUUACAAGACUCCCAAGGCGCGGAGGACGGUAAUGGAGGCAGCUGGCUUUGAUUCUGAUGGCAGAGAAUUCAAGAACGCACAGGAAAUGUGGAGGGAGCAAAUUGGAGAUGCAGAUGAAGGAGAUAACCAUAAGAAGACUCAGUGGUACCGUGAAGGCGUUGCCUAUUGGGAAGUAAGUCUUUCUUAACUCUGGUUCUUACAUUUGUAUGUGGGUACCAUUACCGAACUCAUAAUAUAGUUAUUGGUUUCUUUGGUUGUGCUAAGAGAAGGGUGUGGAGGCAUCGGUAGAUGGGGUGUUGGGUGGAUUUGGGCAAGUAAAUGAGGCAGAUGUCAAGGGUAGUGAGGUUUUUCUCAAUACCCUUUUGCAUGAAAGAUUCGAUGGCGGUGGAAGAAAUCAGCAUCUUGUUGCUCUUGGUACUUCUCUUUCUCUCUCUGUGUGCUUAACUUUAUAUUGUUUUUAUGAAGUUAUAUACCCAUAUAUGUUCUGUUGAGGUAGUUUGGUUUAUGUUAUUAUUAUUAUUUUUUUACACUAAGAAUCAACCUUAGGUUAUUAUGCGCCAUUAAAUGUGGAAGUGCAAAGUUGGUAAUGGGAUCCUACUUCGUUAGAAUGAGCAUUGGUGGAAAACCUAAUUAACUCUAAAUUAAACAAAAAAACAUAGUGGUGGCAGCAGAUAGGGAUGGUGUGAUGGAUGAAAUUUUGAGUUAAAUAUCUGCAAUUAGGGCCUGAAACUGGAAACCAAGAUGGCUUGAUAACACAACCAUGAAAAGUUUUUGUCCCAUAAUCCCACCCCAUGAAAGAAAAUAAAUAAAUAAAGAAAUGAAAGGCAUGGAAAUUUGCAUGAAUAUGCAUUUUCUGAAUUAUUUUGCAUGAUCUCUUCACCAAAAAUCAGUCUCAGUUGUGCAAGAAGCAUGUCAUGCAUUAGAGGUGUUGCUUUGAUUUAGAAUGCCAGCGUUAUAGGUGUUGCUCUUAUUUAGAAUGCCAUAAUGCAAUUGAGAAUUGGGUUUACUACAUGCUAUUUUGCUUAAUAAAAAACCAUCUUUAAGCAAUAUUCUUUUUUAAAUUUGGGAAGAAGCUUGCUGGGAGUUCUCUCUCUGUCCCUUAAGGGUUGUGUGCUCGUGGGGGGUGGGGGUUGGGGCACCCCUGGACCCAAUUUGAGACUGUUGUGAGUACUCAGAAUAAAGGAAAGAAAUUUCUGUGUUUAAGAUUGAAAAAUCACUUUCACAUUACAUCAGCAGCGAAGAUGCUUUAUCUUGCUAAUAUUCUGGAACUUGUUAUCCUUUGAAAGGCAAAAAUUAGAUAUGUCUUCAGUAUGUUUUAUUACUAGGAGAUUGAUUCUUCGACAUGAGUAGGAUCUAUAAUUGCCUAUAUAUGAAGUUGGUCUUAAUACUUGUGAGUUGGUGGACUAUACUGGGGCAAUUAACUGAAAUCUUGCGAAGGGGAAUUGUAGGGGAAAUUAUUUAGGAAACUAAGCAGUUGGAGUUUGGCUUUAAUGUAAAGAUAUUUAGGUAACUAAGCAGUAAUGGUUUGGCUUUAAUAUGAAGAUAAUUAAGUGAUUUCCACAAGUUUUAUUAUAAGUAAUAUGAUAUAAGAUGCACUUAAGCACUUGGCUUUAUGAUUUGUGCAUGUAUCCCCUGCUAAAAGAGCUGGGUUUAAUUACCCUCCCCUAAUAAAAUAAAAUAAAACAUGAUAAUUGAUGGUUGUGCCCUCAAACUUUUGCCUUCAUAUGGUUUAUGUUGGUGGAAUUAAAACAAACUCUUUUGAUGAUCUUAGUGCAGAAGAAUCUGGUACAUUUUAGGGCUUAGCAUACUAAAUUAAACUAUGUCAUAAUUCUCAAAACACUGCAUUGCUGACCUUAUUUCAAGUCCAUACAUUUAAGCACUAGAAAUACCUGCAAAUGGUUCUAAAGCAUACUUAAAAUAUUGCUGCAGUACUGAUCUGUUUGGUAUUUCAUUUUUCUUGAUGUUUUUAAUUCUAAUUGAAAAUCAUAAAUCUAGUUGACAUUCUGAGCUCUUAGUUUCUAUGUUAAUUUAACAUACUGCAGAUUGUGGUUCUGGCAUAGGGAGAAUAACCAAGAAUCUUCUCAUAAGAUAUUUUAACGAGGUAAGGUCAUUUUUCUCUUUCUAUUAGUUUAUUUUCAAUAUUCCUGACAUUUACCAUCUUUGCAGUUAAUUGAUAACAUGGUUCAUAGUGCAUAAUUUUUACUACCUAAAGAAUUUCUCUGUUGUAUUUGAAUGAAAAGCAAAAUUGGGCAGUGCCUUUUAAAAAAUUCAUGCAGGACAUAAGGAGGGUACCCAUUAAUUUCAAGGUACCUAAACCCUAACCCUAUAAAAAAUCAAAUACCUGAACCCUAUUAAUUACCUGAAUAAUUUUGAAAGUUAAUACCCUAACCCUAACCUCAACCCUAAUACAUUCCCACUACCUUAGAGUUACCCUAACCCGUUUAAAAACCCGAUUAGAUAAAAAAUUUAUUAAAAUGUUUUUCAUAAGUACACAAUUACCCAAACCCGAACCUGUAUCCAUAUACAAUAAUAUUUCUCCUAAAUAUUUCAUAUAAUUAACUACUAAUAAAAUUAAUAAAAACACAAAUAAUAAAAUUUAAAUUUAAAUAAUCAAAAACUAUAAAGUGUGUUUAUAAAUGAACAUAAUAUAUAAUAUAAAUCAAUAUUAUUUUAUUAUUUAGUAAUUAUUAACUUAUAUAAUAGUAAUUAUAUUCUUUAUAAAUGAACAUAAUAUAUAAUAUAAAUUAUAUGUAUUAAAAGACAUUACAAGUUAUAUACUAUAAAGUGUGUAUAUAUAUAUAUUAUAAUUAAUAAUUUUAUAAGUUAUAAUUUUUAUAAUGUUAACACAAAAUAAAAAUUAAAUAUAUUUAUAUUUAAAGUAUAUAUAUAUUAAAUUAUAUAUAUAUUAAAAGUAUUUUAGUGUAUAAUUAAUAGUAUUAUAUUUUUAUAAAUGAACUCAAUAUAUAUUAAAAAGACAUUACAAGUUAAUUAAUAAUAAUAAUUUCAUUAAUUAAUUUAAUUAAUUAUAUGAGUUUGUCCUUAAUUAUAAGAAAUUAAAAAAAAAUAGCUAAGUUUCAAAACUAUUCUAAUCUUACAACUUCUUUUUAGAUAAUUAAGUUUAUAUAUUAUAAGUUUAUAUAAAUAAAGUAUAUAUAUUAUAAUUAAUAAUUAAUUUAUAAGUUAUAAUUUUUUUAAUAUUAACACAAAAUAGAAAGUAAAUAUGAUUAUAUUUAAAGUGUGUAUAUAUAUACACACACUAUAAGUGUUUUAUUAUAUGUAUAAUAAUAAUUAUAUUUUUUAUAAAUGAACUCAAUAUAUGUAAAGUAAAUAUAUUAAAAGACAUUAUAAGGUAAUUAAUAAUCAUAGUUUUAUGAAUUAAUUUAAUUAACUAUAUGAGUUUGUCCUUAACUAUAUGAAAUUAAAAAAAAUAACUAGGUCUCAAAACUAUUCUAAUCUCACAACUUCUCUUAAGCUUUGUGUAUUAUAAGUUUAUAUAAACAAAGGUGUAUAUAUUAUAAUUAAUAAUUUUAUAAGUUAUAAUUUUUGUAAUGUUAAUAUAAAGUAGAAAGUAAAUAUAUUUAUAUUUAAAGUAUAUAUAUACUAAAAGUAUUAGUAUAUAUAUAAUACAGUAAUUAUNCUUAUAAAUGAACUCAAUAUAUAUAAAGUGUAUAUAUUAAAAAACAUUAUAAGUUAAUUAAUAAUCAUAGUUUAAUGAUUAAUUUAAUUAACUAUAUGAGUUUGUCUUUAAUUAUAUAAAAUUAAAAAAAAUUGUUAGAUUCCAAAACUAUUCUAAACUCAAAGACUCUCUUUAAGUAUAUAUAUAUAUAUAUAAGUUAUAAUUUUUGUAAUGUUAACACAAAGUAAAAAGUAAAUAUAUUUAUAUUUGAAGUUUAUAUAUAAUAGUAAUUAUAUUCCUUUGUAAUAUGAUAUGAUAUUCAUAUUAUUUAAACAUAAUUAAUAAUCUACUAAUUUUUUAAUUUAAAUAUAUUAAUAUCAUCACAUUAAUAAUUUGAGUAACCAUACUUUUUAGUAUAUUUGUCAACUUUUAAUAAAUAUAUUAAUGUUGAUUAUUUUUAAUUUAAUCAUUUAAAUAACAAUAAAAUAUAUAUAAACAGGUAUUGAGAUCGAGUUUGAGGUGGGUACCCGUGUAACCUGAAUAUUAACAUAAUCGGGUUCAAGUAGCGAGUACCUAAGGGGUGCUACCUGAAGGUUUCUGAAUGAAACCUUCUAAUGACUUUCAAAAAAAAAAAAAAAGAAAAGAAAUCACUAUUCGAACCCGUCCUAAACUUGAUUAUAGGGUAUACUAAUCCGGUAUAACCGGGUUGGAUACUCGUGGGUACCCUAUAAUAGGGUACGCAUUGCCAUCGCUACACAUUAAUAUGUAAUUCCAAUACAGUGAACAUGAUGUGGAACAUGGUGGACUUUUUCUUUUUCCUCUCUUUUUCUUUCAUCGAAUGAUAUGAAUCAGUGUUAUAGUAUUAGUUGGAGCUACUAUCUUAACAAAGCUGCAUAGUACUUUGUGAUAGCUAUGCUUUUUGACCCCUCUUCCCUUUACCAUUCUCUAGGUUGAUCUACUUGAGCCAGUUUCGCAUUUCUUAGAUGCUGCCCGUGAAAGUUUGUCUCAGGAAUAUUUUGUAUCCUCUGAUGCGCACAAAGCAACUAAUUUCUACUGUGUCUCCCUUCAGGUAAUGUACUUCAAGACUACAUUCAUGCAUAGAUACAUGCUUCUUGAUGUCUCGAAGUAUUCAUAACUAUGGUUAAGUCCAUGUAAGCUAUGUAUUUCCAACUUUUCACUUUUCCCUGUAUUGCGGAUGUAGCCAUGUAAUUUACACCUCAAGCAGGCAUGUUGUUUGAGUACAAUCCUGGGAAAACUUACAAAAUUUAAGGUAAACAUGUUAAAUAUGGGUUUGCAUCUGGAACUCACAUUUGAAUCUGGGCAACAUAGUCUGUACUCUGUAGGCGGCUGGAUUCAAGUAAAUUUUUGCAAACAAUUAUUUACUCUUUUGUGUGUGUUGUGGGGGGGGAAGAGGGGACAGCAUAUGGGCUAGUGAAUGAGCCCUUUAAGUUGGUGAUAUAUGUGCUUGUCUUCUUCUGAUGCUUCUGGCUGUUAAAUUUUACUUUAUAAAACAGAAAUUUGACGACCAUUUUUUUUUUGUCUUUUGCUUUUUCAGGAGUUCACCCCUGAUGCUGGAAGGUACAAUGUUAUUUGGAUUCAGUGGUGCAUUGGUCAUCUCACAGAUGAUGACUUUGUCUCAUUUUUUAAGAGAGCAAAGGUGAAUAAAUCUUCUUCUUGAGACAGAACUUACUUUUUAUUUGACAUGUUGUGCUGUGUGGAAGUGCAUUGAAAGAUCAAAAUUAUGUAUUGAAAUUUUCUUGCCUGCUGUCUACUAUACAUUCGAAGUGCCUUGUUCUGAUUUUUGAAUUAUGAACUGUCAGAUCAUUGUAAUGGUAUCUCAAAUUUUCCUUUUCCAAAUUUACUGCUUCUAGCUUUAUCUCUUGUAACUUCUCUUAAACCUUCUCACAGCUAUAGGAAUUAAGGUUGUCUAGAGAACAUAACAUAGCAAAUACCAGAAGGAUGAUAUAGUCAAACUCCUUUUUUCCUUUUUGUUUCUUUUUUAUUUUAAAUUUUUUUUGUGCAAUGUGUCAUGUUGUUCAUUUUAUUCUUCUUCCUGCUAGGUAAUUAGCGGAUUUGAUGGGUUAGUUUGGAGUGUUUGGGCCCAUCCCUAGCACCACGGAAACAAGGCUUGAUAAUACUUUAUAAUUCAUACAGCUAUUUUGCUAUCAUCUGUUUUCUCACCUUACAAAAGCUUGUGACCAAAUUUUGUUGUGCCUUGUGCAUUGAAAUAAGUUUUAAGAAAUGAUGGUAGUUUGACUUUUGUCCUUUAAGUUUGUAAAUGGUGGGAAAUAAAAUUAAAUCUAGAAAGUGCCAUAUUCAUUUCAUGGCCCCUUGAGUCCCUACUCUCCUGCUUCCCUUGCUGCAACCUUUUUAUUUUUUCCAGGUGCUGUUAAGCAUAACCUUUUACACUGCCUUCAAUGUAUUUUCAUCAAAAUUAAGCAAAAUAUAUUAAUAAUAAAAAGCUCCAACAGGGAAAGUCUUGGGCAUGUGUAUGUGUAUGUAAUUUGGAGGCCUGAUCUCUAAGUUGUGUCCUGGAAAGAACCUUGUUGAAAAUUAUUAUUCUUGCAUAUAUGAUUUAAAAGAUUCUAAUUUGCAUUUUAAUUUGAUAUUAAUUUGUUGAUUCCAGGUAGGCCUUAAACCUGGUGGAUUCUUUGUCCUGAAAGAGAACAUUGCUAGAAACGGUAUUGUCUUUAUGACUCUUUGAUUUUUCUAAGCAUGUUUGUUUGCCCUCCCUCCCUCUCUCCCUCCCCUUUUUAAGAAGUGCUCAAGUUUUGUUUAAAGUAUUCCUCAAACUUUCUUAUGUUUUGGUAUUCUGUGGUAAAUUUUCAUAAAGUUGUGUUUUUCUUUUUUGAAAUGCCGCAUGUCAUCUCACGUAUGAGAAGGCAUAAAGUUGCUUUUUUGAGCUGAUAUUACUUUUUAACUUUGUCUUAUUAUGUAAUUAUCUGGCCUCUACAACUUUGAAGUAACAUAAUAGUUAAUAAUAAUAGAUGUUCAAUUAAAAGAUCAAUGGAUAAAGGAAUUUUUAAGCUCCAUUUUCUCGUUCCAUUGCUUGAUACUAAGGGAAGCAGCAAGUUUUUGUUUUAUGCAUUCUGCAAACUUUCUUAUUUUUUGGUAUCCUGCUGAAAAAUUUUCAUAAAGUUGCUUUCUAGAGCUGAUAUUACUGUUUAACUUUGUUUUAUCAUGUAUUCAUCUGCCUGCUACUGCUUUGAAGUAUACUAGUUAAUGUUUUAAAUGUUUAAUUAAGGAUAAAUGAAUAAAGGAAUAUUUAAGCUCCGUUGUCUUGUUUCAUUGCUUGAUACCAAGGGAAACAGCAAAAGUGUUGAAACUUAUAAUUCGCAGGUUCAGGGAUGAGUGUCAUCUACUCAAAUGGGUAUGGGGUAUAAUUUUAGCUACCAAUUUGGGACACCUUUUGGUAACACUGCCUAUGUACAACUUUCUUCAGUGAAAAUUCAUGAAGGAAAGAUGACCUAGUGAUGUAGUGCGGAAGUAGAAACAAUAACAAGAAACCAAAACAGUGAACAAAACCAGAACAAAGGUUAACAUUGAUGUAAAAUCGAAGUAGGAACAAGUUACAAGCCAUUAAGGCCAAUUGUCGAGCAUCUUAAGGUUAAAUAAACAAGUCACUCUCAUCUCAUCUGUAAUAGAUUGAUUCAAACCAGCUAGAUAACAUGAAGUCAACUGCUCAUUAGACUCUUUCAACCCAACCCUAGGGAAAGGUCGUUGAAACCUGAAGUGUACUCCUCAAUGGACAUACUAUUUUGCUUGAGUGAAUGAAAUAUCUCAUUCAACUCCAUUUAAUCAGCUGGCAGAAAUUGCCUCAUCAUCUUCAUUUUCAUGUGUUCCCAAGUGUUGAUUUUUGGCUUGCCUUGAUGUGCUUGCUGCUCUUCAACUCUCUUCCACCAUUGAAGUGCAGUCCCUUCAACUUAAGCUUCACAAACAGUACCUUUCUUUGUUCUGCUAUUGGUUUCUACUAAAAAUAAUUUUACAAACUAGCUUUCUGAUCUAAAUAAUCUUUUGCAUGCAUCUUUUUCCGGAAGUCAUCUACCUUAAUUCUAACUCCACCAUUUAAGUCUAGGCAUGUAACAAUCAGCCUUCCAAUCUACCACAAACAGCAUUAUUUGCUGGUUGAGCAUUAUGAAAAGGGUUUUCAGCCUCUCCAUUUUCAAUUUCGUCCUCAAGACCACCUUCCGGUCAACUGAAAGUGUCAGGAUUGCCUUGCGGAUUCUCCAUACGGGCUCCCAUUGGUUCCUGUCACUUUAAAGCUUGCUCAGCCUGCAACAAAUCUUCCAUCAUACCCUUCAACUCAGCCAAUUCUGUUUGCUGGUCUUGAUUUCUUUUCCACGUCUGCUAACAAGUCCUCUACCAUGAUUAGCCAUGGUUUAUAACUAAACUCCUAGUUCAACUUUAAGAUCUUUUCAUCUGAUACCACUUUGAUGUAGUAUGAAAGUAGAAACAACAAAAACAAAAGAAAAACAAUGAAGAAAACCAGAACAAAUGCUAAAAUUGAUCUUAAGAUUAAAGUAGGAAAAGUUACAGCCGUCUAAAGUUACAGCAGCUUUUAAUUGUAGCCCUUUGAUACAAACAACCCCAUCUAAUCCUAGCCAUUCAAACUAAUUAAAAAUGAUCACAUGCUAAUCAUGACACAUGACUAGAUAGAAAGCAUAAUUACUAACUUUUAACUAAAGUAAAACAUAAUAAGAUAACCAAUUGGAGAAAAAUUUAAGAAUGCUCUUGCAUAACCUAGCCCAACAAUUAAACUUGCCUAAAGCUUGACUUAUAAUUUGCUUGCAUUUAACUCACAAAAUACUUGGAUUCAAUCAGUUUAUUGUUGAGUUAUUCUUGAGCUCAAGUGACUAAUGGAGUCUAGUUCAAGUGUUUAUAUUACUCAGUCAAAAUGGUUCAAGAGUGUAAUCAACUUUUAAUUUUUUGAUAUAUUUUAAAAUUUCAUGUAUGUAAUACUCAUAUAAAACUAAAUAAUAUAAAGCUUAAUCAAGCCAGCUUGGAGGUCUCAGACAUAUGUGCCCUCCAAAAAAAUGUUCAAGUUGAGCUUCAGGUCUUAGUUUUGUAAUUGAGUCGUGUCAUGUUCAAGCUUGUCAUUUUGUCAACUUGAUUUGGGUCAGUUAUGCACCUGGACUUUGACCAACUCAAACUGACUAAAAAGGUUGCUGAAUUGAAAGUUGAGACAGGGACAAUUCAAAAACAAAGUAAUCUGGAAUUCUAAAUAUCCAAACUUAACAACCUAAACACCUUUAAAUGACAAGUGGGCAGUUAUACCCCUUUUGCAGUACUUGCAUAAUUUCACUUGACUUGGCUUGCAUGUGGAGAACUUGUCAGUGGAAUUGUUCAGUGGCAAAAUGAGUUUCACUGAGCUAUCACUUGAUUGCAGGAUUUGUUUUGGAUAAAGAAGACCGAAGCAUCACCAGAUCUGAUUUAUACUUCAAGGACCUAUUUCGUCGGUGUGGAUUGCACCUGUAUAAAAUAAAGGUACAUUCUAUUGCAUAUUACCCACUUACUAAGCUGUUGAUUAUGCUUUUUUAAACUGAAUAAUCUGUUAGUUUUCUCGUAAAUGCUUUUGACAAUUGUUGUUUCAUGAGGCCUAAUCCUAACUAUAUUUUGACAUUGAAAGAAUAUACAAUACAUAAAGCUACACGGGUCUGCUGUGGCAGCUUAAUGGUGCUCAAAGUUCUUAAUCAGUCUCAACUUUCAUUUUUUUGAUUCUGAAAAAUGAAACCCCCCUCACUGGCUAAAAUAAAGUGGGAAUCAAUUCAGUAUGGUACAAUUUAUAGAUAUGAUACAUUUAUGCCACCAAUGAUACUUCGCUGCAGAGUUACCUAUAUCAUGUAUUCUUUUUAUCUGUCCUAUUAUCAAUCACUUUUACAGAGAAAUUAUGGUCUUGAAGUCAAAACUGGAUACUGGAAUAAUUAAAGUUAUAAUUAACCUCAAAAUUGUGUGCUGGGUUGUGGCGGUAAAGGGGUCAACCUGAUGUAAGUUAUACAACUUGGACUUACACCAUAAAAGUCAACCAAAUGCCAACAAAGAUUAGUCGCCAACCCAUACAGUUGUGUCUGUUACACAUAACCUUUGACUUGCAACAUAACAAUCCCAAGAUGACACAUUGAAAACUGAUAAGUUUAUAUAGAUCAUGCACUAAUAGCCUCAUAUGUUGCCAUUGUCUUAACAACUAAGUCUCUAAGCAAACAUUCGAAAAUUUAGAUCUUGAAACUUUAAAAUACAAGGUCUAGCUAAAAGUCUAAUGGUAGGUGCAGGCUUUAUAGGAUGAGAGAGGGCUUCUCCUACUGUGAAGCCCUCGUUCCAUUGACUUUCAGAUGUGCCCGAAAAACAUAACAAUAGUGAGAGGCGUUGUGUGAUCUAUAUUGUUUGGUAAGUUUUAGAUAUCAUAUCAUCUUUUGUAUCCUUAUAUUCUUAUUUGAUGUUGCUGAGUUGAAUCGAUAAGGGUGUGAUUUCUAGUUGCAUGUUCAAAGUUCCCAUUAGAAAUAGGGGCAGGUUUGGUUUGCAAUCCCCCUACUUCAUUUUAGGGUUUUCAACUAUCAUAAUGUAUCCUUUUGUUAUUUAUUUGUUUGUUGUUUUGAAAACAGGACCAGAAAGGACUCCCUGAGGAAUUGUUUGCUGUAAAGAUGUAUGCUUUAACAACUGAAGGGCCAAAUAAGGUUCUCAAGACAAGAUCCAAGGCGCAAGCCAACAGACCUGGCAUCAUCAAAUGAUUUGUUGCCUCUUAACUUCUUGCAUUGUUGUAGGAGUACUCAAACUUUUCUGGUGUGGGAUGUGAUUUUAUCUUCCUAUGUAAUUUAUUAGUGUAUUACCUCAAAUUGUUUUUACUUUACAAGCUCCUUGUGGACAAAUUUUGUUCUUUUUCGUUUGAAGCUGUGUAUUUAUCCCUGGUAUACCUUUGAAGCUGUGUAUGUUCCUAAAUUCAAUUAUUGCUUGCAUAUUUUAAUUUUAUCUUAAAUUUUUUUUUUUACUUUUUAAACAAAAAUAAAGAGUAAAAUUUGCUGGUCCUUUUUACCAAGUCUGUAAUCCUUAGUCUAAUAAUACUUUAGAUGUUUAUUUUUGCUCCUAUACGCAAGACCAUCUCUCUCCCUUUUUGUCGUGUUAUGUACCAAACGGUGUCGUUUGGCACUUUGCUCCUUACAACCCUAACUCUAAAUUCCUUUUUUUCUCUCUCUCUCUCCUACAUUUUUCCCCUUGACUUUCUCUCUCUACCGCCGGCGGCUCUCUCUCACUUCUCUCUAACCCUUCAGCUCACUUCCUUCUCUCUUUCUCUUUCGGUUGGAAGUAAUGAGAAUCUCCCAAUCCCAAAAAAGGAAAUCAACUUUCUCUCCCUCACACUGCCAGAACCUUCCUUUCACCCUCACAAGUCACUCCCCAACCGAACCCAUUUCCUAGAUCUCCCUCUUUGUAAACAUUGGAGUUUUGUUUUGAUGCUUUUUUGCUUUUCUUCUAUUUUUUUGCCUUUUUGGUUGUGUUAUCUUGGGUGUGGUAUCCGGAUGCUAGAUUAAAAAGUUAGACGUUUUUGCUUCUAGGUUUUAUCUCUUUUCUGGAGAUUUUUGUUGAUGGAAUCUACAGCUUGAGGGAAUCUAUGUUUAGUUUUUUUAUAUGUAAACACCCUUUUCCAUCAUAAGGUUAAAAUUUUUUUGUUCUUUGUUUGAGAUGGAUAUCAAACCCUAUCUUCAUGAACACCACUUGCUUUAUGAUGACUACAGUGAAUCAAAGGCUCUUUGUAAUAUAUGCAAUAAGAAAAUGGAUGGUUUGUCUUAUUAUUGUGAAAGAUGCGAGUUCUGGUUGCAUAAUAGCUGCGUUCAUCAACAGCUACCUCUUCAGAUAAGUGCACAUCCUCUCCAUUCCCAACACAAUCUUAGUCUCUUAUGGUCAAACCACAUAGAUUACAUAUGUGCUAAAUGUUUCAAUCUUUCUCGAGGUCACAGGUACCAUUGCAAAGAUUGUGAUUUUAGCCUUGAGUAUCAAUGUGCUUUUUCAACCAAUGAUGAGAAAAAUAGACUCAGUGAUAACACAUCCAAAAAAAUUGGUCGUUUCAACAAGUCGUUGACCCUCUUUAACUAUAGGAGAGUGAGAAAGUAUGAGCAUAUAUGUAGUUGGUGUGAGAACCAUUUGUCUGGAAUGUCGUAUGGUUGUCUUAACGAUGGUGUUUAUAUCUGGUUCCAUGAAUCCUGCCUAAUCAACAUGCCUAGCAUAAUCUUCAAACACCCAUUCCAUCCAUUACACCCUCUUUCAUUAAGCAACAUUCAUUUUGAUAAUGGAUUGUGCCAUGCUUGCAACCUACCAAUAUGGGAGUUCAGAAAAGCCUAUUGUUGUAGAAAAUGUAAAUUCCUCCUUCAUGUGCAUUGUGCCAAACUACGACCCAGUCUCAAGGUUGAGUUACAUGAGCAUGAUCUUACUUAUUUUCGAAUAAAAGCAAAUAUCGCUACCCACCUAUGCAGGAUAUGUGGUUUUAAUUUUGAUGCUUUAGGGAGAGAAAGUGUGUUUUAUCGUUGUGUUCAGUGUAAUUUCAAUUACCAUUUCAAAUGUCUUACAAUACCACAUUCUACUUCACACAAGUAUCAUAGGCAUGACCUUGUGCUUAUGGAUUCAUUUAUAGAAGAUUUAUCUGAAGAAUAUUAUUGUGAUAUAUGUGAAGAAGAAAGAAAACCCAAGCAUAGUGUUUAUUGUUGCAAGGAAUGCAAAUUUAUUGCUCACAUCGAAUGUGCACUCAAAAAGGCAAGGAAACAUUAACUCUCUCUCUCUCUCUCUAAAGAAAUUUAAUAAAUGUUUUUUUCAUUAGAUAAACUAUUAAUUAUUUGAUCAUAGAUCACAUAUAAUGUGCCAUUUAGAAAAAUUUUGAUGCUAAUAUUUUCACUUCCUCAGGUUGUAGAUGUAAAACUUGAUCAAUGUUUGACCUCUAGCUUGUUGGACAGCGAAGCUUCAACAUUGAAGGUGAUGGAAUUGGGUCUUUUAUAUUGAUAUUAUUGUGAUGUUUUCACUUGCCAAUAAUGUUUUUUUUUUUUAAGUUUACAUCACUUGAGGUCUUCUAUGAUUCCUUGGAUUUAUAUAUUUUAAAGAUUUUGUAGUAAUAAACACUAUUUAUUUUUUUGAAUAAAAUUCAAUAAAAAAAUAAAAAAUGUAAAUAAUAUAGGUAAGAAACCUCUACUUAUAUAACAGUAUUCAAAAUUAAUUUGGAGAUGGCUUUAGUAAAAAUAUUGAAUGCUGAAUAAAAUAAAAACACAUACGUGCAUCAUGUUAAUUUCUGAACAUAUAUAUUUGAUUAUUUAGUUAUUGCUUCCAUAGUUUAGUUUUAUCUUAAAUUUUCAUUUCUUUUACUUUUUAAACACAAUUAACAAGUAAAUUUUACUCUUAAUUUUGAGCUAUUUGUAAUUUUUUGUUUUCAUUCACCAUUUUGAAUUUGUUUCAAAACCAUCUGUAUAUUAACAUGCCAAUAAAAUAUAGAUAGAAUUUGUCACGUAAAUUCCACAUAUUAUGUGAAUUUCGUGAAUGUAGUCACAUGGACAUAAAUGUAGUGCUUAGAUGGCAAAUCCGUUCCAUAUUUAAUAGUGUAUUGAUGGAUUGAUGAAUUUAAAAUAAAUUCCAAAAGACGUAAAUGGAAAAAAUUGAGUUUGUUUAGUCAUAAAUGAAAAUAAAAUAUUAUGACAAUUUUACAAAAUAAGGAUGCACUUUACUUUAAAAAUGGAGGAAGAUUAAUAACUUUCUUCAUUCGACUUGGUUGGGCAGGUGCAGAUUGAACAUAUUGAUCAUCAGCAUCCCUUGAGCUAUAAUGAGUCUAUUGAACAAAGCGAAAGUCUUCUUUGCAAUGCUUGUCGUCAAGAAGUUUUUGAUCAACACUAUGCUUGUGAAGAUUGUAAAUAUUACUUACAUGAAAAGUGCACUACAUUGCCGUAUGAGGUGUCACACCCUCUUCAUUGCCAGCAUCCUCUCAAGCUCUUCACGGAUAUAGUUGAAUUUACAUGUCAUGCGUGUAGAGACCAUUCUGGUGGGUUUGCUUACAUGUGCCUUCCAUGUGAUUUCCAACUUGAUGUGAAAUGUGCUACCUCUCCAAUCCCACCUAAAAAUGAGGGGCAAAAGCUGAAAGAGAUGGAGAAAGUUUUCAAGUUGUGCCCUUUCAAUCAAAAUCAUAAGCUAGACUUCUUCAACCGUAGAUCCAAUCUCAAAGAUUUGGCUGUGGAAUGCAAUGCUUGCAAGCUACCAAUCUUGGGUCCAGGUUAUACAUGUCUUGAUUGUUUCAAUAUCAAAAUUCAUGAAUCUUGUCUUGCACUUAUGCGGGAGAUGCAGCUCAACUUUCAUCCAUUACACCUCCUUCAUCCACAAAUUGGCGAUUGGGAAAAUUGUUUUGCCUGUAGAUUUAAAAUCAUUGAAAGUAUCGAUUAUAGUUGUCGACAGUGUGAUUUUCACCUUCAUCUUCAUUGUGCUAAUUCCCUGAAGCUGGCCUUAAAAAUUAAGUCUCACGUGCAUAAUCUCUAUUAUUUUGGACCAGAUUAUGAGAAAUCCUACCAAUUAUGUAACAAAUGCAAAAGUUACAUUGGUAAGGAACCUUUCUAUUAUUGCGUGGAGUGCAAUAUGAAUUUGCACUUAAAAUGUGUUCCCAUACCAUGUUCAGUUAAAUCCAAAUGUCACAUGCAUCGUUUGACUCUUAAAGAUCAUUUUGUGGAAGAUGAUUCUGGAGAAUACUAUUGUGACAUUUGCGAAGAAGAAAGGAACUCAAAAAAUCAUUGCUAUUAUUGUGAAGAGUGUGCUGGACAAUUUGUUGCUCAUAUCGAGUGCGCGCUUCUUACAGUAAGUUUAUCACUAUCAUUUUCUCUGUAGAAGUUUUUUAUACCAUAUUUUGAAUUUUUAAAGGAAAAUAAAAAUCUAAGUUACACAUCACAUGAUCGUAUCCACCACUUCUUUGAUUGAUUGGACUUUAUUAAUGGUUAAAGUAACUCAUAAGUUCAUAUAUUAUAGAUUUUUCAUUAAUUUAAACUUUUUACCCAAAAGUGGUUAAUUUAGUCUUUAUACUUUCAGAUUUUAUGUAAUGGACUAAGUUUGCUUAGCUUUAUCUAAAGUAACCAUUAGUGGUACUAGUGUUACAUUGACAUGUAAGAUAAAAAAAAGGAAAUUGGCCAUGUGGUAUUUUUUUCUUUCCUUUUUUUUCUUCACUUAUUUGUUCAAAACUACAUUGUUUUAGAGUAUUAUUUAAAAGCACCUUUAGUUUUUAUUUUUCAUUUUCAUUCUUUCCUUCUCUCUAGCUCUUUUCUCUCCCUUUGAAUGCAAAUUCUGGCUGUCAAUCACUAGUGGUAUGAAAAUUUAAUAAAAAAAUAAAAAAUUCAUAUUUUUUUGCCUUAUUUCCCAUAAUAAAAAUAGCUUUUUCAAAAUCUAUUUUGAUUUUCCUAGAUUUAAAAUCAUAAACUUGUAAAAAAUAAACUUGUUUCUUUCCACUGCUAUGUUCUUGACUUGAUGUUAAUGAUCAAUGAUUGUGUUUUUAUGUUGUAGGAUUUUGAAUUUACAGAUGAAAAUUUUCAUGAAUUUUUCAACUUGAAAGAUGUUGACUCACCUAUUGAGAGUUCCUCUACGGAUGAGUUGCUUUCCCAACCCCAUGCUGAAGUUUACUUGAACCAAAACAGAAUGGUAGUUAAGUCUUAUUUAAGUUCAUUUUAAAGAUUUCAUCUUUUAUGCGAAAAUGAAUUUUAUUUUAAGAAUAGUUAAAUGAAAGAAAAGUUUCAAAAUUUUGUGGGUGCCAUUGUUGUUGCAGAAGUACUGGGUGGAUAAGAAAUUAAACAAAUACUGCUUCAUGUUGUUUGCAAGAGAUCUUUCAAUCACUUGGGCAGAAAACCACCGUUACUGGCGUUGGUCAUACCAAAGAGAAACAAACAGGUUAGCAUAGAUUUAUUAUCCAUUUAGAAUCUUUACUUCAUAGAUCUAGCUUGACAACUUUUCUAAUCCACAAACUUUUGAUUUUGCAGCGAUGUGUUGAUUGAUGUUGCCGAACUUCUAGAUGUGUGUUGGCUAGAAAUGAAUGUGAAAUUCAACGUAAAAAAGCUCUCACCGAAAACAUUGUAUGGACUUGUGUUCGUGCUUAUGUUGACAAAAGAAGCACGUGGAUGGGAAACUCCAGUGAACUUCGGAUUCACUCUUCCAAAUGGGUACAAGGUUGAACGCAAGGAAACUUUGAAGUCCAAGCCGAGAGGAGUAUGGAUAGAAAUCCCCGUUGGAGAAUUUACAACUUCAUCUGAAAUUGUUGGAGAAUUUGAUAUUUACUGUCACGAAUAUGCUACAGGGAAUUGGAAGAGAGGACUUAUUGUUAAAGGAGUUACUAUUCUGCCAAAGAAUUAAACAACAAAUUAGUAUUUUCUCACAAUAAAUCUGAAAGUACUGUAGUUUUUCUAUUUGUUCAUAAUCUUGCAAAUUCGAAAAUGACAUGAACCUAAAAGGAACAAACUCAUCCAAUUAUCACUUCAACAACCAGUUCUUUGGUCCUCAUUUUAAUGUAUAGGUUCCAUGCUAAAUGCAACAAACAAGGCCAUUGAUUUUUUUGGUAUUUUUUAUAAGAUUUUAUGACCACUAGUGGCUAGUGGUUGGCUGUUGAAAUCUGGGUUUGGGGAUCAAAGUCUAAAACAGAAUGAUUAGAUAGAGAGCAAGAGAGAGAAGGAAAGAAGGAAAAAUGAAAAAAGAGAAAAAUAAAUGUCCUUUAAAUUGUAGGUUUACAAUGAUUGGUUUUGGACAAAAGAGAGAAAAAAGAAAAAGAUAAGCCAUGUGACCAAUUUCUUCUUUUAGUCUAACAUGUCAACAUUAGCAUUUUUUUUUAUAUCAAUUUAACUUUAGUAUCACUAAUAGUUAAUUUGGAUGGAGUUAGACAAAGAGACUCAAUGGUACAAAUUCUGGGUAUACAAGGACUAAAUUAAUCAGUUUUGGAUAAAUGGACUAAAUUGACAAAAAAAAAUCUUUAAUAUAGGGAUCUAUGAGGUACUUUGACCAUUAAUAAAUUUCAAUCAAUCAAAGAGGUGAUGGCUAUGAUCAUGUAAUGUGUAUGUGUAAUUGAGAUUUUUAUUUUCCUUCAAAAAAAUUCAAUAAUGUGGUAUAAAAGAAAUCUAUAAAGAGAAAAAAUAAUUGUUGUCUCCUCAGCAUUUUUUGAAACCUUUUCAGCACUUUGAAGCUUUGUCCAUUAAUUAAUCAGCUUGUUUUAGGCAUGUUCAUAUAGUAACACAAGUCUUUACGUUGUAUAGAACCUUUUGUUCCUUUUUGAACUCCUAUAAUCUUGCGCAAGUUGUGUAUAUAGGGAGAUACAUGCCUAAGCUGCAGGGAUGGUUUUUGUUCACCUGCUUUUUUGUAUAUUGAUUUUGCUUAAGGUAUAAAGAUAUAGAAUUUUAAAAAAAAGAUACAAAAUUGUGGGAUUAGCAAAUUGAUAGCCACAUUUGGAAUAAAAAAGUAGCAAUUAAAAGAAGCAUUUUAUCUUUAAUGAUGAGUAAGCUGUCUUUAGCUUUUUUCUUUUUUAUAUUCUCUCAAUAAUUUCCUACUUUAAAUAGAGAAAAAAAACCACCGUUGACAGGGCAUGAAACACAUGCCACUUUCUUGUUUUUGGUAUAAAGGCUUGAGGGAAUCUUUGUUUAGGUUUUAUAUUUAAAUACACUCUCUCAUUAAGAGGCUAGUAGUUGAUCAUCUUUCUCUUCAUCUACCUAAAUUUCUUUCUUUGUUUGUUUCAGAAAACAAGAUAGAGAUUGUUCUGCUAUGAGGAUAUUCUGUACUUGUUUUUGACAGAAAUUUAGUACCUCCUUAAGUCCUCAACCGUCUUGGUGUUGCAAAAAGGGGGUUGUAGCUAGAAAUUAACAACAAAAAAUAUGCAAGCAAGGCUGUUGAUGUGAAUGAUUUAGCUUAGUUUGGGUUAUACAAGGCACAACAAUUCUUUGAACGUCAAAUACACUUUCCUAUAUUUAAGCUUUUUCUUCAUAAUGUGUAGGAUUGCAGGGCAUUUUAUUCAACUAUAUUUUGGUUAGAUUGUAGGGAAAAAGACAUAAAGGAGAGAAACAUUUUUAGAUAAUGAUUCAAAAUUUAAUUUCAUUAAUAAGUUAAAAAAUUAUAGCAAAUUGUCAAAAAGGUUCAAAAAAAAUUUUUCUGCUCCUUUUAUUCUCUCUUAGCCAGAAGCGAUGUGCAUUCUCGAACUAGUGAGUUGCAAAUAAGUGGCUGCUUUCCUGCAUAUCUUUGAGUUGAAUGACCAUAUACUUAUUUAUUUCGUAUAUUUCGAUAAAUUUAUGUUAAUAUUCAAGUUUUUAAUAUUUAAAUGAAUUUAUAUUUGAUGCAUUAACAAUGUAUAUAAGAUAUAUGUCAGUAUAUCAAAUAUGAAUCCUAUUUAAAUAGAUUAAGAGUACAUAGUUAAGAAUUACAGGGAGUUUAAUUUGAGAUAGUAGCUUUUUGUAUGAAAGAACAAAAAUAAGAUUUUAUUACUUUUUUUAUUUGUUUUUGUUAAUUUUAUUGUGUCAGCUUGAUUUUAUGUCAAUAGACCUAUUAAUUCAUCAUGGUUAGUAAUCAACUGCUUCAAUAACGAUGCUUCCCAAGUUUAAAAGGGAAAAUAGGAGAUUCCAAACUUAAAACCUUCAUGUCCUUGAUGCUUUUCUUAUUUCUCUGUCCCUUUUUAUUUGUUGUUUUAGUUACAAAAUUGUGGAAGUAGAAUCUUGAUUGUUGCAUUUUCAAUAAAAAGUACCAAUUUACAGAAGCAUUUUAUCUUUAAUGAUGAGUAAGUUUUCUUUGGCCUUUUUCCUUUUUUUGAAAGACAAAGAGAAUAGUAUUUCAUAAAAAAAGGUACAUCUUAAUUAAAUUAUUUGAAGGCAAGAAAUUAAGAUUAGCAUCAGUAUUCACUUCCAAAUUCUCACAAUCAUUUCUUUUUUUAAAUAAAAAAAAAUAAUGUUGUUUUUAUCACCCACUCAAUUAAUUAAUCUGAAAUUGUCGUUGUAUUAGUAAAAUGAAUCGUAAUCACAAUAUAUGCGCGAUGUGUUUUCAUUGGGCAAGUAAUUGUUAUAUAACUAAAGCAAAAAUAAAGUAAUUGCUAUAUAGCAUUAUUUUACUUAGAGGGAAAUAUUUAAUUAAAGAAAAAAAAAGUAAUUCCAAACUUAGAACCUUUAUCCUUUUAAAAACCAAUGAAUAGAGUAAUGUUGAUUCUCUAUAAAGUGAUUUGAUUUCAAAAUGCCAAAGGUCCUUGAUGCUUUUCUUCUUUUUUAAACAAAACACUCCCCUUGCUAAACUAAAGUGAGAAUCAAUUAAGUUUGGUACAACUUAUAGAUACAUUUAUGCCACUAGUAAUACUUUGUUUCAGAAUUAUCUUUUCUUUUUAAAAACAAUAAAGAUGAAUUAUAUAUUAAAAAAGAGUAUUCCUUUACAACUUAACAAAAAAGACCCACGACUACAUCAAAGGCAAGCAAUGGGACUUAAAAAUUUGGGUAGACCAGUACUUGCCUAAGGUCCCGCCAACUAGCAUUAAAAAGAAAAUAUUACAAAAGGUAAGAAAACUCACUCUAUACAUAACAAAAGGACCUCCGAAAAAGUGUUCAAUCAAUAUCCCUUAAAAAAAAGGCAGUAUAAACGAAGAAACAUCAGUGGUUCCAUAAAGGUAGCAGCAAGCAUUAUGAUGCACAACAAAAGUCAAUAAAGCAGGGGACAGAAUACCCCACACUAGGUUAAUGUAUAUUCUUCUCCGAGGUUGGCAGAGAGUCAUUGAUCCAAAACAAAUCUGUUGAUCUUGAGACACCUUCUUUGGCUAGGGUGUCAGCUUCUUCAUUAGCAGACCGAAAAAUGUUUUUAAUCACCAACCCAACGUCCUUGGUCAACUUCUUCCACAUACGUUGUCCAAUAAAAAUCACUCAAGUGUCUCGCAUUGCUUGAAAAGGACAAAAAGACUGCCACGUGCUACCUUAUUGGCAAUUGCUACUAGCGUUCUCCACCGCCCGCUUGGUGUCGCCUGUACAGCCAGAACCACAACCACCACCAUUUGCAAUUCUCCUGAGUCUGAAUUCUUAUCACAUUACUACUGUUGGAAAAGUGUUUGACAAACAACUUUCAGCUAGUAAGUUAGACUCACUAUAACCUUUAUUAUCAAAAAUUUUAUACGCAUCGCUUUUGGAUUACAAAGCAUUACAAGGACGAAUUAUAAAGCAUUUUAAUUCUCAUGGUUUUUUUUUUUUUUUUAAAGAGUGAUUUUGGGUUCAACUUUAAGAAAUUGUCUGCCACUUGUUCAUUGUUACAAAACAGGGUCGGAAGAGAAGCAGCUUCAACAUCAUCCACUUGUUCAGUCAACCAAUAAUUAACUGCUGUUUUCAUUAACCAAUUUACAUUUGAGAAACAACAAAAACAAUGGCAAAAGCACUUCUUUCCAUGAUCCUGGAGCAGCAGUUGGGUGGUUCGUUCAUUCCUCAAGAGAUAAAGCAUCAUGUCGGAUUGGCUGUAGGUCUUGAAGAAGAAAUCCAAAAACUCACCAGCAACUUUGACGCCAUUCAAGCUGUGCUUGAAGAUGCGAAAGGAUAAACCAAACAGGGCUUGCCUAACCCAAGGCGCGGAGGAUAAGGCAUACCGAUGUGGAUGCGGCCCAUAUCCCAAGCUGUUUCCCCACAGACCCUCCAACAGUGUCCCAUAACUCUAGUCCUACAUCCACCACGGAAGAAUUACAAGACUCCCAAGGAGCGGAGGACGGCAAUGGAGGCGGCUGGCUCCGAUUCCGAUGGCAGAGAAUUCAAGAACCCACAGGAAAUGUGGAGGGAGCAAAUUGGAGAUGCAGAUGCAGGAGAUAACCAUAAGAAGACUCAGUGGUACCGUGAAGGCGUUGCCUAUUGGGAAGUAAGUCUUUCUUAACUCUGGUUCUUACAUUUGUAUGUGGGUACCAUUACCGAACUCAUAAUAUAGUUAUUGGUUUCUUUGGUUGUGCUAAGAGAAGGGUGUGGAGGCAUCGGUAGAUGGGGUGUUGGGUGGAUUUGGGCAAGUAAAUGAGGCAGAUGUCAAGGGUAGUGAGGUUUUUCUCAAUACCCUUUUGCAUGAAAGAUUCUCGAUGGCGGUGGAAGAAAUCACCAUCUUGUUGCUCUUGGUACUUCUCUGUCUCUCUCUGUGUGCUCAACUUUAUAUUGUUUUUAUGAAGUUAUAUACCCAUAUAUGUUCUGUUGAGGUAGUUUGGUUUAUGUUAUUAUUAUUUUUUUUUUUUACACUAAAAAUCAACCUUAGGUUAUUAUGCGCCAUUAAAUGUGGAAGUGCAAAGUUGGUGAUGGGAUCCUACUUCAUUAGAAUGUAGCAUUGGUGGAAAACCUAAUUAACUAUAAAUUAAACAAAAAACAUAGUGGUGACAGCAGAAAGGGAUGUUGUGAUAGAUGAAAUUUUGAGUUAAAUAUCCGCAAUUAGUGCUUGAAACCGGAAACCAAGAUAACUUGAUAACACAACCAUGAAGAGUUUAUGUCCCAUAAUCCCACCCCAUAAAAGAAAAUAAAUAAAUAAAGAAGAGGAAAGCAUGGAAAUUUGCAUGAAUAUGCAUUUUCUGAAUUAAUUUGCAUGAUAUCUUCACCAAAAAUCAGUCUUAGUAGUGCAAGAAUUAUGUCAUGCAUUAGAGGUGUUGCUUUGAUUUAGAAUGCCAGCGUUAUAGGUGUUGCUCUUAUUUAGAAUGCCAUAAUGCAAUUGAGAAUUGGGUUUACUACAUGCUAUUUUGCUUAAUAAAAAACCAUCUUUAAGCAAUAUUCUUUUUUAAAUUUGGGAAGAAGCUUGCUGGGAGUUCUCUCUGUCUCUUAAGGGUUGUGUGCUUGUGGGGGGUGGGGGAUGGGGCACCCCUGGACCCAAUUUGAGGCCGUUGUGAGUGCUCAGAAUAAAGGAAAGAAAUUUCUGUGUUUAAGAUUGAAAAAUUACUUUCACAUUUCGUCAGCAGCGAAGAUGCUCUAUCUUGCUAAUAUUCUGGAACUUGUUAUCCUUUGAAUGGCAAAAAUUAGAUAUGUCUUCAGUAUGUUUUAUUACUAGGAGAUUGAUUCUUCGACAUGAGUAGGAUCUAUAAUUGCCUAUAUAUGAAGUUGGUCUUAAUACUUGUGAGUUGGUGGACUAUACUGGGGCAACUGACUGAAAUCUUGCGAAGGGGAAUUGUAGGGGAAAUUAUUUAGGAAACUAAGCAGUUGGAGUUUGGCUUUAAUAUAAAGAUAUUUAGAUAACUAAGCAGUAAUGGUUUGGCUUUAAUAUGAAGAUAAUUAAGUGAUUUCCACAAGUUUUAUUUUAAGUAAUAUGAUAUAAGAUGCACUUAAGCACUUGGCUCUAUGAUAGGUGCAUGUAUCCCCUGCUAAAAGAGCUGGGUUUAAAUUACCAUCACCAAAUAAAAUAAAAUAAAACAUGAUAAUUGAUGGUUGUGCCCUCAAACUUUUGCCUUCAUGUGGUUUAUGUUGGUGGAAUCAAAACAAACUCUUUUGAUGAUCUCAGUGCAGAUGAAUCUGGUACAUUUUAGGGCCUAGCAUACUAAAUUAAACUACGUCAUAAUUCUCAAAACACUGCAUUGCUGACCUUUAUUUUAAGUCCAUACAUUUAAGCAGUAGUAAUACCUGCAAAUGGUUCUAAAGCAUACUUGAAAUAUUGCUGGAGUACUGAUCUGUUUGGUAUUUCAUUUUUCUUGAUGUUUUUAAUUCUAAUUGAAAAUCAUAAAUCUAGUUGACAUUCUGAGCUUUUAGUUUCUAUGUUAAUUUAACAUACUGCAGAUUGUGGUUCUAGCAUAGGGAGAAUAACCAAUAAUCUGUUUGGUCAUUUUUCUCUUUCUAUUAGUUUAUUUUCAAUAUUCCUGACAUUUACCAUCUUUUCAAUUAAUUGAUAACAUGGUUCAUAGUGCAUAAUUUUUACUAGCUAAUGAAUUUCUCUGAUGUUUUUGAAUUGAAAGCAAAAUUGGGCGGUGCCUUUUAAAAAAUUCAAGUAGGACAUGAGGAGGGUAUACGUUAAUUUCGAGGUACCUGAACCCUAAGCUUAUAAAAAAUCAAAUACCCAAACCUUAUUAAUUACUUGAAUAAUUUUAAAAAUUACUACUUUAACCUUAACCCUAAUACAUUUUCACUGUUCUAUAAUUAUCCUAAUCUGUUAGAAAACCCCAAUUAGAUAAAAAAAUUAUUAAAAUGUUCUUCAUGAGUACCCAAUUACUCGAACCCAAACCCAUAUCCAUAUACAAUAAUAUUUAUCCUACAUAUUUCAUAUAAUUAACUACUAAUUAAAUUAAUAAAAACACAAAUAAUAAAAUUUAAAUUUAAAUAAUAAAAAAUUAUAAAGUGUGUUUAUAAAUGAACAUAAUAUAUGAUAUAAAUCAAUAUUAUUUUAUUAUUCAGUAAUUAUUAACUUAUAUAAUAGUAAUUAUAUUCUUUAUAAAUAAACAUAAUAUAUAAUAUAAAGUGUAUGUAUUAAAAGACAUUAAAAGUUAUAUACUCUAAAGUGUGUAUAUAUAUAUAUUAUAAUUAAUAAUUUUAUAAGUUAUAAUUUUUGUAAUGUUAACACAAAAUAAAAUGUAAAUAUAUUUAUAUUUAAAGUANNNNNNNNNNNNNNNNNNNNNNNNNNNNNNNNNNNNNNNNNNNNNNNNNNNNNNNNNNNNNNNNNNNNNNNNNNNNNNNNNNNNNNNNNNNNNNNNNNNNNNNNNNNNNNNNNNNNNNNNNNNNNNNNNNNNNNNNNNNNNNNNNNNNNNNNNNNNNNNNNNNNNNNNNNNNNNNNNNNNNNNNNNNNNNNNNNNNNNNNNNNNNNNNNNNNNNNNNNNNNNNNNNNNNNNNNNNNNNNNNNNNNNNNNNNNNNNNAAACAUAUCUCAGAAGUCAGAAAAACAUCACAGCCCCUUCCUUUUCAGCAUCAAAUAGAAAACAGCCCUGCCCCCUCAUCCAAUAAGUACCCAUUCUGUGCAACUCUGGAAGAAGAGCUCAAAUCAUGUGCUCUCAUUCUGCUUUCGUACUCCUGAAAAUACUCACAUGUACAGCAUAUAUUUGUUAAAUCUACAUUGCAUGGUAUAUGUUGUUGUCACCAGUAGAACAGGGAAGAGGCCAUGAAUCCUGCGGAUAAUUGUAUGGAACGUGCAGCGAAGAGGCCAUGGAACAUUAGUCAAUAUUGCAAUUUUGUAGCGUUUUUUCUGAGAUAACCACUCCACAGACUAGGCUCCAACUCAACAAAAGAAAAAAAAUUGCGGAGUCAUAGAUCUCCCAUGUUGGAAUUUUGAUUAGUGAUUUUCUCUUAACCAAUUCAAAACAUGUUAAUUUCUAUAUUUGUUGACCACAUGAGGCUAGGAAAACUUUCACCAAAACGUUCAAGGAAAAAACAGACCAGAAAUGGAAGUUUACCUACUUGAUUGUUCAGAGUGACUCACCUUCCCCAUCAGAAUCAAUUCUCCACCACCAUGAAUUGUCUCUUCCUCCUUCAGACUUUCACUGAUUUCGCAGUUUGCCCCCCUGCUAAGCUGCUGCACUUCGCACUGCUUCCUUGAUUGGGUUGACUAUCGCCAUGCGGAUUAUUAUUUGGACCCUUCUUUUUAAUGGGCUAAAACAUACCAGCUUAAUUCACAUCGGCCAAACCCAACUACAGGAGAGUGGCUGGUGGAUCUCUCCAUGGACCAAGUUAUCAGCAGAAGCCUGCAGGCCUGAUAGGACAGGCGGCCUGGAUAUGAUUUUCUAGGCUCAGGUUCUACAAGGUUUGACCCAAGAAUACUGUUAUUUUUAUUAAUAAAUACUUUAUUUUAUUAUAUUUUAAUUCUAAAAUAUAUUUUCAAAUACUAAUGUAAAAUUAUUUAAUAUAUAUAAUAAUAAAAUAUAUAUAAACGAGUAUUGGAAUUGGGUUUGGGACGGGUACCCACGUAACCUGAAUAUUAACAUAAUCAGGUUCAGGUAGCGGGUACUCAAGAGAUAGUACCUGAAUCCGAUAUGGGUAGUGAAAUCACUAUUCGAACCCGUCUUAAACCCGAUUAUAGAGUAUCAUAGUAUGAGUUGGAGCUAUGAUCUUAAUAAAGCUGCAUAGUACUUUGUGAUAGCUAUGCUUUCUGACCCCUCUUCCGUUUACCAUUCUCCAGGUUGAUCUACUUGAGCCAGUUUCACAUUUCUUAGAUGCUGCCCGUCAAAGUUUGUCUCAGGAAUAUUUUGUAGCCUCUGAUGCGCACAAAGCAAGUAAUUUCUACUGUGUCCCCCUUCAGGUAAUGUAGUUCAAGACUAUAUUCACACAUAGAUACAUGCUUCUUGAUGUGUUGAAGUAUUCAUAACUAUGGUUAAGUCUAUGUAAGCUAUGUAUUUCCAACUUUUCACUUUACCCUUUAUUGCGGAUGUAGCCAUGUAAUUGACACCUCAAGCAGGCAUGUUGUUUGAGUACAAUCCUGGGAAAAACUUACAAAAUUUAAUGUAAACAUGUUAAAUAUGGGUUUGCACCUGGAACUCGCAUUUGAAUCUGGGCAACAUAGUCUGUAUUCUGUAGGCGGCUUUAGUCAUGAAUCAUUAUAGGUAUAGCCUAGAAGAGUUAAUAUGACUGAUAUUAUGGGGAUGGGAUGGGUGGGAAGGAGAUUGGACAUGUGUAGCUUUAGCUUGCAAUGUGAAACUUAGAUGAUUAGACAACCUUUGGAUUCAAGUAAAUUUUUGCAAACAAUUAUUUACUCUUUUGUGUGUGUUGUGGGGGGGGAAGAGGGGAGCAGCAUAUUGGGUAGUGAAUGAGCUCUCUAAGUUGGUGACAUAUGUACUUGUCUUCUUCUGAUGCUUCUGGCUGCUAAAUUUUACUUUAUAAAACAGAAAUUUGACAACCAUAUUUUUUUGUCUUUUUCUUUUUCAGGAGUUCACCCCUGAUGCUGGAAGGUACAAUGUUAUUUGGAUUCAGUGGUGUAUCGGUCAUCUCACAGAUGAUGACUUUGUCUCAUUUUUUAAGAGAGCAAAGGUGAAUAAAUCUUCUUCUUGAGACAGAACUUACUUUUUAUUUGACAUGUUGUGCUGUGUGGAAGUGCAUGGAAAGAUCAAAAUUAUGUAUUGAAAUUUUCUUGCCUGCUGUCUACUAUACAUUCGAAUUGCCUUGUUCUGAUUUUUGAAUUAUGAACUGUCAGAUCAUUGCAAUGGUAUCUCAAAUUUUCCUUUUCCAAAUUUAUUGCUUCUAGCUUUCUCUCUUGUAACUUCUCUUAAACCUUCUUACAGCUAUAGGAAUUAAGGUUGUCUAGAGAACAUAACAUAGCAAACACCAGAAGGAUGAUAUAGUCAAACUCUUUUUUCUUUUUGUCCUUUCUUUUUUUAUUUUAAUUUUUUUUUUUGCAAUGUGUCGUGUUGUUCAUUCUAUUCUUCUUCCUGCUAGGUAAGUAGCGGAUUUGAUGGGUUGGUUUGGAGUGUUUGGGCCCAUCCCUAGCACCACAGAAACAAGGCUUGAUAAUGCUUUACAAUUCAUACAGCUAUUUUGCUAUCAUCCGUUUUCUCACCUUACAAAAGCUUGUGACCAAAUUUUGUUGUGCCUUGUGCAUUGAAAUAAGUUUUAAGAAAUGAUGGUAGUUUGACUUUUGUCCUUUAAGUUUGUAAAUGGUGGGAAAUAAAAUUAAAUCUAGAAAGUGCCAUAUUCAUUUCAUGGCACCUUGAGUCCCUACUCUCCUGCUUCCCUUGCUGCAACCUUUUUUUUUUUCCAGGUGCUGUUGAGCAUAACUUUUUGCUCUGCCUUCAAUGUAUUUUCAUCAAAAUUAAGCAAAACAUAUUAAUAAUAAAAAGCUCCAACAUGGAAAUUCUUGGGCAUGUGUAUGUGUAUGUAGUUUGGAGGCCUGAUCUCUAAGUUGUGUCCUGGAAAGACCCUUGUUGAAAUUUAUUAUUCUUGCAUAUAUGAUUUAAAAGAUUAUAAUUUGCACUUUAAUUUGAUACAGUAAUUAAUUUGUUGAUUCCAGGUAGGCCUUAAACCUGGUGGAUUCUUUGUCCUGAAAGAGAACAUUGCUAGAAACGGUAUUGUCUUUAUGACUCUUUGAUUUUUCUAAGCAUGUUUGUUUGCCCUCCCUCCCUCUCUCCCUCCCCUUUUUAAGAAGUGCUCAAGUUUUGUUUAAUGCAUUCCUCAAACUUUCUUAUGUUUUGGUAUUCUGUGGUAAAUUUUCAUAAAGUUGUGUUUUUCUUUUUUGAAAUGCCGCAUGUCAUCUCACGUAUGAGAAGGCAUAAAGUUGCUUUUUUGAGCUGAUAUUACUUUCUAACUUUGUCUUAUUAUGUAAUUAUCUGGCCCCUCUACAACUUUGAAGUAACAUCAUAGUUAAUAAUAAUUAAAAGAUAAAUGGAUAAAGGAAAUUUUAAGCUCCAUUUUCUCGUUCCAUUGCUUGAUACCAAGGGAAGCAGCAAGUUUUUGUUUUAUGCAUUCCUCAAACUUUCUUAUUUUUUGGUGUCCUGCUGUAAAAUUUUCAUAAAGUUGCUUUCUAGAGCUGAUAUUACUGUUUAAAUUUGUUUUAUUAUGUAUUCAUCUGCCCGCUACUGCUUUGACUUAUUCUAGUUAAUGUUUUAAAUGUUGAAUUAAGGAUAAACGGAUAAAGGAAUAUUUAAGCUCCAUUGUCUUGUUUCAUUGCAUGAUACCAAGGGAAACAGCAAAAAAGUGUUGAAACUUAUAAUUCGCAGGUUCAGGGAUGAGUCUCAUCUGCUCAAAUGGGUAUGGGGUAUAAUUUUACUAUGCUACCAAUUUGGGACACCUUUUGGUAACACUGUCUAUGUACAACUUUCUUCAGUGAAAAUUCAUGAAGGAAAGAUGACCUAGUGAUGUAGUGAGGAAGUAGAAACAAUAACAAGAAACCAAAACAGUGAACAAAACCAGAACAAAGGUUAAAAUUGAUGUAAAAUCAAAGUCGGAACAAGUUACAAGCCAUUAGGACCAAUUGUCGAGCAUCUUAAGGUUAAAUAAACAAGUCACUCCCAUCUGUAAUAGAUUGAUUCAAACCAGCUAGAUAACAAGAAGUCAACUGCUCAUUAGUCUCUUUGAAACCAACACUAGGGAAAGGUUGUUGAAACCUGAAGUGUACUCCUCAAUGGACAUACUAUUUUGCUUGAGUGAAUGAAAUAUCUCAUUCAACUCCAUUUAAUCAGCUGGCAGAAAUUUCCUCAUCUUCAUUUUCAUGUGUUCCCAAGUGUUGAUUUUUGGCUUGCCUUGAUGUGCUUGCCGCUCUUCAACGCUCUUCCACCAUUGAAGUGCAGUCCCUUCAACUUAAGCUUCACAAACAGCACCUUUCUUUGUUCUACCAUUGGUUUCUACUAAAAAUAAUUUUACAAACUCGCUUUCUGGUCUAAAUAAUCUUUUGCAUGCAUCUUUUUCCGGAAGUCAUCUACCUUAAUUCUAACUCCACCACCAUUUAAGUCUAGGCAUGUAACAAUCAGCCUUCCAAUCUACCACAAACAGCAUUAUUUGCUGCUCGAGCAUUAUGAAAAGGGUUUUCAGCCUCUCCAUAUUCAAUUUCAUCCUCAAGACCACCUUCCGGUAAACCGAAAGGGUCAGGAUUGCCUUGCGGAUUCUCCAUUCGGGCUCCCAUUGGUUCCUGUCACUUUAAAGCUUGCUCAGCCUGCAACAAAUCUUCAAUCAUACCCUUAAACUCAGCCGAUUCUGUUUGCUGGUCUUGAUUUCUUUUCCACGUCCACUAACAAGUCCUCUAACACGAUUAGCCAUGGUUUAUAAGCUAAAAUCCUAGUUCAACUUUAAGAUCUGUUCAUCUGAUACCUCUUUGAUGUAGCAUGGAAGUAGAAACAACAAAAACAAAAGAAAAACAAUGAAGAAAACCAGAACAAAGGCUAAAAUUGAUCUUAAGAUCAAAGUAGGAACAAGUUACAGCAGCUUUUAAUUGUAGCCCUUCGAUACAAACAAGCCCAUCUAAUCCUAGCCAUUCAAACUAAUUAAAAAUGAUCACAUGCUGAUCACGACACAUGACUAGAUAGAAAACAUAAUUACAAACUUUUAACUAAAGUAAAACAUAAUAAGAUAACCAAUUGGAGAUAAAUUUAAGAAUGCUCUUGCAUAACCUAGCCCAACAAUUAAACUUGCCUAAGGCUUGACUUAAACUAGGACUCAAGUCUCAUAAUUUGCUUGCAUUCAACUCACAAAAUGCUUGGAUUCAAUCAGUUUAUUGUUGAGUUAUUCUUGAGCUCAAGUGACCAAUCGAGUCUAGUUCAAGUGUUUAUAUUACUCAGUCAAGAUGGUUCAAGAGCGUAAUCAACUUUUAAUUUUUUAAUAUAUUUUAAUAUUCCAUGUAUGUAAUACUCGUAUAACACUGAAAAAUAUAAAGCUCUAUCAAGUCCAGCUUGGAGGUCUCAGACAUAUGUACCCUCCAAAAAAUUGUUCAAGUUGAGCUUCAGGUCUUAGUUUUGUAAUUGAGUCGUGUCAAGUUCAAGGUUGUCAUUUUGUCAACUUGAUUUGGCUCAGUUAUGCACCUAGACUUUAACCAGCUCAAACUGACUAAAAGGUUACUGAAUUGAAAGUUGAGACAGGGACAAUUCAAACACAAAGUAAUCUGGAAUUCCAAAAAUCCAAACUUAACACCUAAAAACCUUUAAAUGACAAGUGGGUAGUUAUACCCCUUUCGCAGUAAUUGCAUAAAUUCACUUAACUUGGCUUGCAUGUGGAGAACUUGUCAGUGGAAUUGUUCAGUGGCAAAAUGAGUUUCACUGAGCUAUCACUUGUUUGCAGGAUUUGUCUUGGAUAAAGAAGAUUGAAGCAUCACCAGAUCUGACUUAUACUUCAAGGCCCUAUUUCGUCGAUGUGGAUUGCACCUGUAUAAAAUAAAGGUACCUUCUAUUGCAUAUUGACCACUUAAUAAGCUGUUGAUAACGCUUUUUUAAACUGAAUAUUCUGUUAGUUUACUCGUAAAUGCUUUUGACAGUUGUUGUUUCAUGAGGCCUAAUCCUAACUAUAUUUUGACUUUGAAAGAAUAUACAAUACAUAAAGCUACACAGGUCUGCUGUGGUAUCUUAAAUGGUGCUCAAAGUUCUUAAUCAGCCCCAACUUCCAUUGUUUUGAUUCUGAAAAGCAAAACCCCCCUCACUGGCUAAAAUAAAGUGGGAAUCAAUUCAGUAUGGUACAAUUUAUAGAUAUGGUACAUUUAUGGCACCGAUGAUACUUUGCUGCAGAGUUACCUAUAUCAUGUAUUCUUUUAUCUUCCCUAUUAUCAAUCACUUUUACAGAGAAAUUAUGGUCUUGAAGUCAAAACUGGAUACUUUAAUAAUUAAAGUUAUAAUCAACCUCAAAAUUGUGUGCUGGGUUAUGGCGGUAAAGGGGUCAACUUGAUGUAAGUUACGCAACUUGGACUCACACCAUAAAACUCAACCAAAUUCCAACAAAGAUUAGUUGCCAACCCAUCCAGUUGUGUCUGUUACACAUAACCUUUGACUUGCAACAUAACAAUCCCAAGAUGACACAUUGAAAACUGAUAAGUUUAUAUAGAUCAUGCACUAAUAGCCUCAUAUGUUGCCAUUGUCUUAACAACUAAGUCUCUAAGCCAACAUUCAAAAAUUUAGAUCUUGAAACGUUAAAAUACAAGGUCUAGCUAAAAAUCCAAUGAUAGGUGCGGGCUUUAUAGGAUGAGAGAGGGCUUCUCCUAUUGUGAAGCCCUCGUUCCAUUGACUUUCAGAUGUGCCCCAAGAGCAUAACAUUAGUGAGAGGCGUUGUGUGAUCUAUGUUGUUUGGUAAGUUUUAGAUAUCAUAUCAUCUUUUGUAUCCUUAUAUUCUUAUUUGAUGUUGCUGAGUUGAAUCGAUAAGGGUGUGAUUUCUAGUUGCAUGUUCAAAGUUUCCAUUAGAAAUAGGGGCAGGUUUGGUUUGCAAUCCCCCUACUUCAUUUUAGGGUUUUCAACUAUCAUAAUGUAUCCUUCCUUUUGUUAUUUAUUUGUUUGUUGUUUUGAAAACAGGACCAGAAAGGACUCCCUGAGGAAUUGUUUGCUGUAAAGAUGUAUGCUUUAACAACUGAAGGGCCAAAGAAGGUUCUCAAGACAAGAUCCAAGGCGCAAGCCAACAGACCUGACAUCAUCAAAUGAUUUGUUGCCUCUACCUUGUUGCAUUGUUGUAGGAGUACUCAAACUUUCUGGUGUAGGAUGUGAUUGUAUCUUCUUCCUAUGUAAUUUGUUAGCGUAUUACCUCAAAUUGUUUUUACUUUACAAGCUCCUUGUGGACUAGUUUUGUUCUUUUUCGUUUGAAGCUGUAUAUUUAUCCCCGGCAUACCUUUGAAGCUGUAUAUGUUCCUAAAUUCAAUUAUUGCUUCCAUAUUUUAAUUUUAUCUUUAAUUUUUUUUUUUUACCUUUCAAACAAAAAUGAAGAGUAAAUUUUACUAUUCCUUUUUACCAAUUCUUUAAUCCUUAGUCUAAUGAUACUUUAGAUGGAUACUUUUGCUCCUAUUCGCAAGACCAGCCCUCACCCUUUUUGUAGUGUUAUUUUCCAAACGGUGCCGUUUGGCACUUUGCUCCUUACAACCCUAACUAUAAAUUCCUCCUUUUCUCUCUCUCUCUCCUUCAUUUUUCCCCUUACUUUCUCUCUCUACCGCCGGCGGCUCUCUCUCAUUUCUCUCUGAACCUUCAGCUCACUUUCUUCUCUCUUUCUCUUUCGCUUGGAAGUAAUGAGAAUCUCCCAAUCCCAAAAGAGGAAAUCAACUUUCUCUCCCGCACACUGCCAGAACCUUCCUUUCGCUCUCACAAAUCAGUCCCCAACCGAACCCAUUUCCUAGAUCUACGUCUUUGUAAACAUUGGAUUUUUGUUUUGAUGCUUUUUGCUUUUCUUUUUUUUUGCCUUUUGCCAUUUUGGUUGUGGUAUCCGGCUGCUAGAUUAAAAAGUUAGAAGUUUUUGGCUUCUAGGUGUUUGCUCUUUUCUGGAGAUUUUUGUUGAAAGAGCCCCUCCUUUUGUGAAGAUUUCUGCUUUUAUAUAUAUAGGGGCCGAAAAUUCUCUCCUUAGUACUCGGUUAGCCAUUGAUUUAUCCUAAUUUUUAUUGAAUAAAAAUGAAAAUGAAAAAUAGAAUAAUAAGGUAAUAAAAAUAGUAAUAAAAGUACAUAAAAAAAUAGUAUCUACAGCUUGAGGGAAUCUAUGUUUAGUUUUUUAAUAUGUAAACACCCUUUUCCAUGGAAAGGUUAAAUUUUUUUUUCUUUGUUUGAGAUGGAUAUCAAACCCUUUCUUCAUGAACACCACUUGCUCUUUGAUGACUACAUUGAAUCAGAGGCACCUUGUAAUAUAUGCAAUCAGAAAAUUGAUGGUUUGGCUUAUUAUUGUGAAAGAUGCAAGAUUUGGUUUCAUAAUCCCUGCGUUCAUCAUCAGCUACCUCUGCAGAUAAGUGCACAUCCUUUCCAUUCUCAACACAAUCUUAGUCUCUUAUGGUCAAAUCACAUAGAUUACAUAUGUGCUAAAUGUUUCAAUCUUUCUCGAGGUCAUAGGUACCAUUGCAAAGAUUGUGAUUUUAGCCUUGAGUUUCAAUGUGCUUUUUCAAUCAAUGAUGAGAAAAAUAGACUCAGUGACGAGACAUCCAAAAAAAUUGGUCGUUUCAACAAGUCGUUGACCCUCUUUAACUAUAGGAGAGUGAGAAAGUAUGAGUAUAUAUGUAGUUGGUGUGAGAAUCAUUUGUCUGGAAUGUCUUAUGGUUGUCUUGACGAUGGAGUUUAUAUCUGGUUCCACGAUUCGUGCCUAAUCAACAUGCCUAGCAUAAUCUUCAAACACCCUUUUCAUCCAUCACACCCUCUUUCAUUAUGCAACAUUCAUUUCGAUAAUAGAUUGUGCAAUGCUUGUAACCUACCAAUAUGGGAGUUCAGAAAAGCCUUUUGCUGUAGAAAAUGUAAAUUCCACCUUCAUGUUCAUUGUGCUGAACUACGACCCAGUCUGAAGGUUGAGUUACAUGAGCAUAAUCUUACUUAUUUUCGAAUAAAAGCUAAUAUCUCUACCCACCUAUGUAGGAUUUGUGGUUUUAAUUUUGAUGCUAUAGGGAACGAAAGUGCUUUUUAUCGUUGUGUUGAGUGUAAUUUCAAUUACCAUUUCAAAUGUCUUACAAUACCACAUUCUACUUCACACAAGUAUCAUAGGCAUGAUCUCAUGCUUAUGGAUUCAUUUAUAGAAGAUGUUUCUGAAGAAUAUUAUUGUGAUAUAUGUGAAGAAAAAAGAAAACCCAAGCAUAGUGUUUAUUGUUGCAAGAAAUGCAAAUUUGUUGCUCACAUCGAAUGUGUACUCAAUAAGGUAAAGAGAAAUUUACUCUCUCUCUAAACAAAUUUAAUAAAUGAUUUUUUUAUUAGAUAAUCUAUUAAUUAUUUGAUCAUAGGUCACAUAUACUGUGCCAUUUAGAAAAAUUUUGAUGUUAAAUAGUUUCACUUCCCCAGGUUAUAGAUAUAAAACUUGAUCAAAGUGUGACCUCUAGUUUGUUGGAUGGCGAAGCUUCAACAUUGAAGGUGGUGUAUGUUGAUAUUAUUGUGAUGCUUUCACUUGCCAAUAAUUUUUUUUUGAAGGUUACAUCACUUUAGGUCUUUUAUAAUUCCUUGGAUUUAUAUAUUAUAAAGAUUUUUUAGUAAUAAACACUAUUUACGUUUUUGAAUAAAAUUUAAUGAAAAAAAAACUAAAAAAUGUAAAUAACAUAGGUAAGAAACCUCUACUUAUAUAGCAGUAUUCAAAAUCAAUUUGAAGAAGGCUUUAGUAAAAAUAUUGAAUGUUGAAUAAAAUAAAAACAUAUACGUGCAUCAUGUUAAUUUAUGAACAUAUAUAUUUGAUUAUUUAAUUAUUACUUCCAUAUUUUAGUUUUAUUUUAAAUUUUCAUUUUUUUUACUUUUCAAACAAAAAUAAAGAGUAAAUUUUACUAUUAAUUUUGACCUAUUUGUAAUUUUUCGUUUUCAUUUGCCAUUUUGAAUUUGUUUCAAAUCCAUCUGUAUAUUAACAUGCCAAUAAAAUGGAAGUGAAAUUUGUCACGUAAAUUCCACAUAUUAUGUGAAUUAUGUGAAAGUAGUCACAUGGACAUAACUGUAGUGUUUAGAUGGCAAAUUCGUUCCAUAUUUAAUAGUGUAUUGAUGGAUAGAUGAAUUUAAAAUAAAUUCCAAAAGAUGUAGAUGAAAAAAAUCGAGUUUGUUUAGUCAUAAAUGAAAAUAAAAUAUUAUGACAAUUUACAAAUUAAGGAUGCACUCUGCUUAACAAAUGGUGGAAGAUUAGUAACUUUCUUCACUCAACCUGGUUGUGCAGCCGCAGAUUGAACAUUUUGAUCAUCAACAUCCCUUGAGCUAUAAUGGGGCAAUUGAACGGAAUGAAAGUCUUCUCUGCAAUGCUUGCUGUCAAGAAAUUUUUGAUCAACACUAUGCUUGUGGAGAUUGUAAAUACUACUUACAUGAAACGUGCACUGCAUUGCCGUUUGAGGUGUCACACCCUUUUCAUUGCCAGCAUCCUCUCAAGCUCUUCACAGAUAUAGUUGAAUUUACAUGUCAUGCAUGUAGGGAACAUUCUAGUGGGUUUGCUUACAUGUGCCUUCCAUGUGAUUUCCAACUUGAUGUAAACUGUGCUACCACUCCAAUCCCACAAAAAAAUGAGGGGCAAAAGCUGAAAGAGAUGGAGAAAGUUUCCAAGUUGUGCCCUUUCAAUCAAAAUCAUAAGCUAGAUUUCUUCAAUCGUAGAUCCAGUCUCAAAGAUUUGGCUUUGGAAUGCGAUGCUUGCAAGCUACCAAUCUUGGGUCCAGGUUAUACAUGUCGUGAUUGUUUCAAUAUCAAAAUUCAUGAAUCUUGUCUUGCAUUUAUGCGGGAGAUGCAGCUCAACUUUCAUCCAUUACACCCCCUUCAUCCACAAAUCGGCGAUUGGGAAAAUUGUUUUGCCUGUAGAUUUAAAAUCAUUGAAAGUAUCGGUUAUAGUUGUCGACAGUGUGAUUUCCACCUUCAUCUUCAUUGUGCUAAUUCCCUGAAGCUGGCCUUAAAAAUUAAGUCUCACAUGCAUAAUCUCUAUUAUUUUGGGCCAGAUUAUGAGAAAUCUUACCAAUUAUGUAACAAAUGCAAAAGUUACAUUGGUAAGGAACCUUUCUAUUAUUGCGUGGAGUGCAAUAUGAAUUUGCACUUAAAAUGUGUUCCCAUACCAUGUUCAGUUAAAUCCAAAUAUCACAUGCAUCGUUUGACUCUUAAAAAUCAUUUUGUGGAAGAUGAUUCUGGAGAAUACUAUUGCGACAUUUGCGAAGAAGAAAGGAACUCAAAAAAUCAUUGCUAUUAUUGUGAAGAGUGUGUUGGACAAUUUGUUGCUCACAUCGAAUGCGUGCUUCUUACAGUAAGUUUAUCACUAUCAUUUUCUUUGUAGAAUUUUUUUAUACCAUGUUAUUGAAUUUUUUAAAGGAAAAUAAGAAUCUAAAUUACACAUCACAUGAUUGUAUCCACCACCUCUUUGAUUAAUUGGACUUUAUUAAUGGUUAAAGUACCUCAUAGGUCCAUAUACUAUAGAUUUUUCGUUAAUUUAAUCUCUUUACUCAAAACUGGUUAAUUUAUUCUCUAUAUUUUGAGAUAUUAUGUAAUUGACUCAUUUUGCUUAACUCCAUUCAAAUUAACCAUUAGUGGUGCUGGUGUCGCAUUGACAUGCAAGAUAAAAGAAAAAAAAAGAAAUUGGCCAUGUGGCAUUUGUUUCUUUCCUCAUUUGUUCAAAACUACAUUGUUUUAGAGUACCAUUUAAAGCACAUUUAGGUUUUAUUUUUCAUUUUCCUUCUUUCCUUCUUUCUAGCUCUCUUAUCUCUCUAGAUUCCGACACCUAAAUGAAAAUUUUGGCUAUCGUUCAUUAAUGGUAUGAAAAUCUAAUAAAAAAUAAAAAAAUUCAUUUUUUUUGGCCUUAUUUCCCAAAAUUAGGAUAGCUUUUUCAAAAUCUAUCUUGAUUUUCCUAGAUCUAAAAUAAUGAAACUGUAAAAAAGAAAUUUGUUUCUUUCCACUAAUGUGUCCUCAACUUGAUGUUAAUGAUCAAGGGUUGUGUUUUUCAUGUUGUAGGAUUUUGAAUUUGCAGAUGGAAAUUUUCAUGAAUUUUCCAACUUGAAAGAUGCUGACUCACCUAUUGAGAGUUCCUCUAUGGAUAAGUUGCUUUCCCAGCCCCAUGCUGAAGUUUACUUGAAUCAAAACAGAAUGGUAGUUAAGUCCUAUAUAAGUUUAUUUUAAAGAUCUCAUCUUAAUGCGAAAAUGAAUUUUAUUUUAUGAAUAGUUGAAUGGAAGAAAAGUUUCACGAUUUUGUGGGUGCCAUUGUUGUUGCAGAAGUACUGGGUGGAUAAGAAGUUAAGCAAAUACUGCUUCAUGUUGUUUGCAAGAGAUCUUUCAAUCUGUUGGGCGGAAAACCACCUUUACUGGCGCUGGUCAUACCAAAGAGAAACAAACAGGUUAGCAUAGAUUUAUUAUUCAUUUAGAAUCCUUCAUAGUUCUAGCUCGAGAGCUUUCCUAAUCCAUAAACUUUUGAUUUUGCAGUGAUGUGUUGAUUGAUGUUGUCGAACUUCUAGAUGUGUGGUGGCUAGAAAUGCAUGUGAAAUUCAAUGUAAAAAAACUCUCACCAAAAACAUUGUAUGGACUUGUGUUCGUGCUUAUGUUGGCAAAAGAAGCAUGUGGAUGGGAACACCCAGUGAACGUCGGAUUCACUCUUCCAAAUGGGUACAAGGUUGAAUGCAAGGAAAUUUUGAUGACCAAGCCAACAGGAGUGUGGAUAGAAAUCCCUGUCGGAGAAUUUACAACUUCAUUUGAAAUUGCUGGAGAAUUAGAUAUUUACUGUCACCAAUAUGAUGAAUUGAUAAGGAAGAGAGGACUUAUUGUUAAAGGAGUUGCUAUUCUACCAAAGAAUUAAGUUAUAAGUUAGUAUUUUGUCAUAGUAAAUAUGAAAGUAUUAUAGUUUUUUUAUUUGUUCAUAAUCCUGCAAAUACCAAAAUGACCUUAACACUGGAACCAGUUUUUCGGUUCUCAUUAUACAAUAUAGGUUCCAUGCUAAAUGCAGCAAACAAGCCCGUUGAUUGGGUUUUUUGUAUUUUUUAUUAGAUUUUUGGACCACUACUGAUCAGCGGUCAGUGAUCGAAAUCUGGGUUUGGCGAUCAAAAUUUGGGAUGGAAGGAUUGGAUAGAAAGUGAGAGAGAGAAGAGUGUUAGAGAGAGAAGGAAGGAAAAUGAAAAAAAAAAAAACUAAAUGUGCUUUAAAUAGUAAGCUUAAAACGACGUAGUUUGAGACAAAAAAGAGAAGAGAGAAAAAUAAAAGCGACAUGAUCAAUUUUUUUUAUUAGUUUAACACGCCACUUCUACGUUAGCACUUUUUGAUAUGUCAGUGCGACGUUAAUACCACUAAUGGUUAAUUUGAAUGGAGUUGAGCAAAGAGAUUCAAUGGUACAAAAUAUGAGAGUACAAGGACUAAAUUAACUAGUUUUGGAUAGUUGGACUAAAUUGACAAAAAAAUCUUUAGUAUAAGGACCUAUGAGGUACUUUGACCAUUAAUAAAUUCUAAUCAACAAAAGAUGUGGUGGAUUUGAUCAUGUGAUGUGUAUGUGUAAUUUAGAUUCUUAUUUUCUUUUAAAGAAAUUCAAUAAUGUGGUAUAAAAAAUUUCUACAAAGAUAGAAAAAUAUUGUUAGCACCUCAACAUUUUUUAAAACCUUUUCAGCACUUUAAAGCUUUGUCCAUUAAUUAAUCAGCUUGUUUUAGGCAUGUUCUCAUAGUAACACAAGUCUUUACGCUGUAUAGAACCUUUUGUUUCUUUUUAACCUCCUGCAAUCUUGAGCAAGGCUGGUUGUGUAUACAGGGGAGCAUAGUGGUAUAUCCCAGCACAGUUGUGUAUAUAGGGAGAUGUAUGCCUAAGCUGUAGGGAUGGUUUUUGUUCACCUACUCUUUUGUAUAUUGAUUUUGCUUAAAGUAUAAAGGUAUAGAAUUUUUAAAAAAAGAUACAAAAUUGUGGCUUAGCAUCUUGAUAGCCACAUUUGGAAUAAAAAGGUAGCAAUUAAAAAAAGUAUUUUAUCUUUAAUGAUGAGUAAGCUUUCUUUGGCCUUUUUCAUUUUAUAUUCUCUCAAUAAUUUCCUUCUUUAAAUAGAGAAAAAAAAUGUUGACAGGGCAUGAAGCACAUGCUAUUUUCUUGUUUUUGGUAUAAAGGCUUGAGGGAAUCUUUGUUUAGGUUUUACAUUUAAACGCCCUCUCUCAUCAAGAGGCUAGUAGUUGAUCAUCUCUCUCUCUCUCUUCAUCUACCUAAAUUUAUUUCUUCGUUUGUUUGAGAAAACAAGGCAGAGAUUGUUCUGCUAUGGGCAUAUUCUAUACUUGUUUUUGACAGAAAUUUAGUACCUCCUCAAGUCCUUAACCAUCUUGGUGCUGCAAAGAGGGGGUUGUAGCUAGAAAUUAACAACAUAAAAGAUGAAAGCAAGGUUGUUGAUGUGAAUGAUUUAGCUUGGUUUGGGUUAUACAAGGCGCAACAAUUCUUUGAACGUCAAAUACACUUUCCUAUAUUUAAGCUUAUUCUUCAUAAUGUGUAGCACUGCAGGGCAUUUUAUUCAACUAUAUUUUGGUUAGAUUGUAGGGGAAAGAAAGGUAGAGAAAAAGACACAAAGGCGAGAAACAUUUUUAGACAAUGAUUCAAAAUUUAAUUUCAUUAAUAAGUUAAAAAAUUACAGCAAACUGUAAAAAAGAUCAAAAAUUUUUUUGUCUGCUCCUUUUAUUCUCUAUUGGCCAGAAGAGAUGUGCAUUCUUGAACUAGUGAUUUGCAAAUAAGUGACUGCUUUUCCUACAUACCUUUGAGUUGAAUGACCAUGUACUUAUCCAUUCUGUAUAUUUCAACAAAUUUAUGUUAAUAUUCAAGUUUCUAAUAUUUGAAUGAGUUUAUAUUUGAUGCAUUAACAGUGUCUAUAAGAUACAUUGUCAGUGUAUUAAAUAUAAAUCUUAUUUAAAUAAAUUAAGAGUACAUAGUUAAGAAUUACAGGGAGUUUAAUUUGAGAUAGUAGCUUUUUGUAUGUAAGAAGAAAAAGAAGAUUUUGCUGCUUUUUAUUAUUUGUUUUUGUUAAUUUUAUUGUGUCAGCUUGGUUUUAUGUCAACAGCCCUAUCAAUUCAUCAUGGUUAGUGAUCAACAGCUUCAAUAACGAUGCUUCCCAAGUUUAAAAGGGAAAAUAGGAGAUUCCAAACUUAAAACCUUCAUGUCCUUGAGGCUUUUCUUGUUUCUCUGUCCUUUUCUAUUUGCUGUUUUAGUUGCAAAAUUGUGGAAGUAGCAUCUUGAUUGCCACAUUUUUCAUAAAAAAGUACCAAUUUAAAGAAACAUUUUAUCUUUAAUGAUAAGUAAGUUUUCUUUGACCUUUUUCUUUUUCUCAAAAGACAAAGAGAAUAGUAUUCCAUAAAAAAGGAUAUGUGUUAAUUAAAUUAUUUGAAGGCAAGAAAUUAAGAUUAGUAUCAGUAUUCGUUUCCAAAUUCUCACAAUUAUUUCGUUCUUUAAAUAAAGAAAAAAAUAAUAUUAUUUUUGAUCACUCACUUGAUUAAUUAAUUUGAAUUGUCAUUGCAUUAGUACAAUGAAUCGUAAUCACAAUAUACGCGCGACUUGUUUUCAUUGUGCAAGUAAUUAUUGUAUAACUAAAGCAAAAAGAAAGUAAUUGCUAUAUAACAUUAUUUUACCUAAAGGGAAAUAUUUAAUUAAAGAAAAAAUAAGUAAUCCCAAACUUAAAACCUUUAUCCUCUUAAAAACCAAUUAAUAGAGUAAUGCUGAUUCUCUAUAAAGUGAUUUGAUUUCAAAAUGCCAAAGGUCCUUGAUGCUUUUCUUCUUGUUUAAACGAAACACUCCCCUUGCUAAACUAAAGUGAGAAUCAAUUAAGUAUGGUACAACUUAUAGAUACAUUUAUGCCACCAGUAAUACUUUGUUUCAGAAUUAUCUUUCCUUUUUAGAAACAAUAAAGAUGAAUUAUAUAUUAAAAAAGAGAAGGAUAAGAGUAUUCCUUUACAACCAGUCAAAAAAAAACCCACGACUACAUCAAAAACAGCCAAUGGGGCUUAAAAAUUUGGGUAGACCAGUACUUACCUUAGGUCCUGCCAAGUAGUAUUAAAAAGAAAAUAUUACAAAAGGUAAGAAAACCAUAACAAAAGGACCUGUACAUAAUCUUUUCCUAGAAGAAGGAUCCAAAAAAGGGUUCAAUCAAUAUCCCUUAAAAAAAAAGCAGUAUAAACGAAGAAACAUCAAUGGUUCCCAUGAAGUUAGCAGCGAGCAUUGUGAUGCACAACAAAAGUAAAUAAAGCAGGGGACAGAACACGUCACACUAGGUUAAUAUUCUUCUCCGGGGCUGGCAUGGAGUCGUUGAUCCGAAGCAAAUCUGUUGAUCUUGAGACACCUUCUUUGGCUAGCUUGUCAACUUCUUCAUUAGCAGAACCAAAAAUGUGUUUCAUCUCCCAUCUUCCAAUCUUACGAAGAGUAUUAAAUGUUUGAAUUAUCAGAGUCUUCGCUCUCCAUAUCUUCUUUUUGUCUUUCUUAAUAUUAAUCACUUUUACAAAGAAUUUAAUUUUAAUUUUACAUUUGAAUUGUUGCGCUAGGGUAUGGCCGUAGAGGGGUCAACUUGAUGUAAGUUAAGCAACUUGGAUUUACAGCAUAGAACUCAACUAAAUUCCAACAAAGAUUAGUUCCUAGCCCGUACAGAAAAUUUGUAUAUGUUACUUGACUGAUUUACAUUGAAGAAGUAAAUUUGCAUAUCACCCACAUUAUAAACUAAUCAAUUACUGAAAAUAAGAAAUUACCACUAGUGCUUGCUAAAUCUCAUAAAUAAAUCAUCUUAAUAAGCAAUAACUAUGUAUGGGAGGGCUAAUUAUUGUAGUUAACAUUCCUUGAAUUUUACCUCAAAAUUUGUGUUAAUAUUCUAGGUUGUGAUCAAGUCAAAUAUUCAAGUUUCUAACAUUUAAAUAGAUUAGGAGUACUUCAUGAAUGAAGGGGUUUAAUUUGAAGUAAUAGCUUCAAGUAUAGAAGAAAAAAAACAAAGAUUAUGCUGCUUAUUUUUUUUUAUAUUUUCUUGUCUUAGGUUGAUUUUAUGUCAACACUCCUAUCCACUAUUCGGUAAUUUUGGACGUGUGUAUUUCUGUAGCAAUGUUUAUGAAAUGGUUUGGACAGCAUUGAUAGCUGUGGAUCAUGAGACAUAUAUACACUUUGGACAGCUAUUUAUUGAGACGUGCUGGAAGGUGAUUUAAUUAUUUCUGUUGAUUGGGUUAUGUUUUCAGAGAUUGGGCGGAUUUGUUAAAGAGUCCAACUGGACCUAUUUAUCCCCAAAGUUGAGUUUAAUUUUGGCAUUUGGCAUGUGGCAUUGCCAAAGCUCCUCAAGGAAGAGCACUAUGCGAUGAGUGAAGGCCAAAUAAAUAAGAAGAAAAAAGAAAGAAAGAUAGUACACAUCUUGUCAUCACUCAUCAAUUAGACAUUCCAUCCCUCACCAACCCAACGUCCUUGGACAACUUCUUCCACAUAUGUUGUCCAAUAAAAAUCACUCCAGUGUCUCGCAUUGCUUGAAAAGAAAAAAAAAGACUCCCACGUCCUACCGUAUUGGCGAUUGCUACUAUCGUUCUCCACCGCCCGCUUGGUGGCGCCUAUACAGCCACCACCACCACCACCACCAUUUGCAAUUCUCCUGAUUCAGAAUUCUUAUUGCAUUACUACUGUUGGAAAAGUGUUUGAUAAACAACUUUCAGCUGGUAAGUUAGCUUCACUAUAACCUUUAUUAUCAAAAAUUUUUUACGCAUUGCCUUUGGAUUACAAAGCAUCCUGGUCAAAUUGUUUCCGUAGUGACGUAGAAGUUGUCAUUCAAGAAAAAUUACAAGGACGAAUUAUAAAGCAUUUUAAUUCUCAUGGUUUUUUUCUUUAAAGAUUGAUUUUGGGUUCAACUUUAAGAAAUUGUCUUCCACUUGUUCAUUGUUAAAAAACAGGGUCGGAAGAGAAGCAGCUUCAACAUCAUCCACUUGUUCAGUCAACCAAUAAUUAACUGCUGUUUUCAUUAAUCAAUUUACAUUCGAGAAACAACAAAAACAAUGGCAAAAGCACUUCUUUCCAUGAUCCUGGAGCAGCAGUUGGGUGGUUCGUUCAUUCCUCAAGGGAUAAAGCAUCAUGUCGGAUUGGCUGUAGGUCUUGAAGAAGAAAUCCAAAAACUCACCAGCAACUUUGAGGCCAUUAAAGCUGCGCUUGAAGAUGCGAAAGGAUAAACCAAACAGGGCUUGCCUAACCCAAGGCGCGGAGGAUAAGGCAUACCGAUGUGGAUGCGGCCCAUAUCCCAAGCUGUUUCCCCACAGACCCUCCAACAGUGUCCCAUAACUCUAAUCCUACAUCCACCACGGAAGAAUUACAAGACUCCCAAGGAGCGGAGGACGGCAAUGGAGGCAGCUGGCUCCGAUUCCGAUGGCAGAGAAUUCAAGAACCCACAGGAAAUGUGGAGGAAGCAAAUUGGAGAUGCAGAUGAAGGAGAUAACCAUAAGAAGACUCAGUGGUACCGUGAAGGCGUUGCCUAUUGGGAAGUAAGUCUUUCUUAACUCUGGUUCUUACAUUUGUAUGUGGGUACCAUUACCGAACUCAUAGUAUAGUUAUUGGUUUCUUUGGUUGUGCUAAGAGAAGGGUGUGGAGGCAUCGGUAGAUGGGGUGUUGGGUGGAUUUGGGCAAGUAAAUGAGGCAGAUGUCAAGGGUAGUGAGGUUUUUCUCAAUACCCUUUUGCAUGAAAGAUUCUCGAUGGCGGUGGAAGAAAUCACCAUCUUGUUGCUCUUGGUACUUCUCUGUCUCUCUCUGUGUGCUCAACUUUAUAUUGUUUUUAUGAAGUUAUAUACCCAUAUAUGUUCUGUUGAGGUAGUUUGGUUUAUGUUAUUAUGAUUAUUUUUUUACACUAAAAAUGAACCUUAGGUUAUUAUGCGCCAUUAAAUGUGGAAGUGCAAAGUUGGUGAUGGGAUCCUACUUCAUUAGAAUGUAACAUUGGUGGAAAACCUAAUUAACUAUAAAUUAAACAAAAAAACAUAGUGGUGACAGCAGAUAGGGAUGGUGUGAUGGAUGAAAUUUUGAGUUAAAUAUCCGCAAUUAGUGCUUGAAACCGGAAACCAAGAUGACUUGAUAACACAACCAUGAAAAGUUUAUGUCCCAUAAUCCCAACCCAUAAAGGAAAAUAAAUAAAUAAAGAAGAGAAAGGCAUGGAAAUUUGGAUGAAUAUGCAAGAAGCAUGUCAUGCAUUAGAGGUCUUGCUUUGAUUUAGAAUGCCAGCGUUAUAGGUGUUGCAACUAUUUAGAAUGCCAUAAUGCAAUUGAGAAUUGGGUUUACUACAUGCUAUUUUGCUUAAUAAAAAACCAUCUUUAAGCAAUAUUUUUUUUUAAAUGGGGAUUUUUUUAAAGCCCUUUUAAAUAACAUGUUUUUGUAAAAGGCCGACAGGAUACUUUUAACUAUUUUUAGCCAUCAGAAAAGAUUUUGGGAUAAAAAUACCCUUAAUGAGCCGUCUUCGUUAGCGUACACUCUCAAACAGGCGAAAAAUGAGAAAAAAAAAUAUGCAAAGAUUUGUUGUGCAAAAUACCCUUUUUUUUUCGAAGGUUGUGCAAAACAAAAUAAAGUUACAUGAGAUGGUUUUUUAGAGAUUUUGGACAUGGCAUUCGGAUAAUAGGAGAAGAGAGAUAUUAAAUCAAACGAGGAACAGGUCUUCAUGAAUGGAAAGCUUGGCUAAUGAUGUGAAACCAGAAAUCCUUGAUACGGUGGUAAAUUGAAAGGAGAAAGAUGUGAAUCCAAGCAGGAAAUGGUCCUGCUAUAGCAGGCCAUAUGUUAGAUGGCUGUCGCAGGGCAGGUCAGGGUUUAAAGUUUGUGAAACGUCAUGUUGGGAAUGUAUGACACGACACCGCUCAGAGUUGGUGAGACGCCAUUGAGGGAAUCUAUGACACGCUAGAGUUAAGAGUUGGUGACANNNNNNNNNNNNNNNNNNNNNNNNNNNNNNNNNNNNNNNNNNNNNNNNNNNNNNNNNNNNNNNNNNNNNNNNNNNNNNNNNNNNNNNNNNNNNNNNNNNNNNNNNNNNNNNNNNNNNNNNNNNNNNNNNNNNNNNNNNNNNNNNNNNNNNNNNNNNNNNNNNNNNNNNNNNNNNNNNNNNNNNNNNNNNNNNNNNNNNNNNNNNNNNNNNNNNNNNNNNNNNNNNNNNNNNNNNNNNNNNNNNNNNNNNNNNNNNNNNNNNNNNNNNNNNNNNNNNNNNNNNNNNNNNNNNNNNNNNNNNNNNNNNNNNNNNNNNNNNNNNNNNNNNNNNNNNNNNNNNNNNNNNNNNNNNNNNNNNNNNNNNNNNNNNNNNNNNNNNNNNNNNNNNNNNNNNNNNNNNNNNNNNNNNNNNNNNNNNNNNNNNNNNNNNNNNNNNNNNNNNNNNNNNNNNNNNNNNNNNNNNNNNNNNNNNNNNNNNNNNNNNNNNNNNNNNNNNNNNNNNNNNNNNNNNNNNNNNNNNNNNNNNNNNNNNNNNNNNNNNNNNNNNNNNNNNNNNNNNNNNNNNNNNNNNNNNNNNNNNNNNNNNNNNNNNNNNNNNNNNNNNNNNNNNNNNNNNNNNNNNNNNNNNNNNNNNNNNNNNNNNNNNNNNNNNNNNNNNNNNNNNNNNNNNNNNNNNNNNNNNNNNNNNNNNNNNNNNNNNNNNNNNNNNNNNNNNNNNNNNNNNNNNNNNNNNNNNNNNNNNNNNNNNNNNNNNNNNNNNNNNNNNNNNNNNNNNNNNNNNNNNNNNNNNNNNNNNNNNNNNNNNNNNNNNNNNNNNNNNNNNNNNNNNNNNNNNNNNNNNNNNNNNNNNNNNNNNNNNNNNNNNNNNNNNNNNNNNNNNNNNNNNNNNNNNNNNNNNNNNNNNNNNNNNNNNNNNNNNNNNNNNNNNNNNNNNNNNNNNNNNNNNNNNNNNNNNNNNNNNNNNNNNNNNNNNNNNNNNNNNNNNNNNNNNNNNNNNNNNNNNNNNNNNNNNNNNNNNNNNNNNNNNNNNNNNNNNNNNNNNNNNNNNNNNNNNNNNNNNNNNNNNNNNNNNNNNNNNNNNNNNNNNNNNNNNNNNNNNNNNNNNNNNNNNNNNNNNNNNNNNNNNNNNNNNNNNNNNNNNNNNNNNNNNNNNNNNNNNNNNNNNNNNNNNNNNNNNNNNNNNNNNNNNNNNNNNNNNNNNNNNNNNNNNNNNNNNNNNNNNNNNNNNNNNNNNNNNNNNNNNNNNNNNNNNNNNNNNNNNNNNNNNNNNNNNNNNNNNNNNNNNNNNNNNNNNNNNNNNNNNNNNNNNNNNNNNNNNNNNNNNNNNNNNNNNNNNNNNNNNNNNNNNNNNNNNNNNNNNNNNNNNNNNNNNNNNNNNNNNNNNNNNNNNNNNNNNNNNNNNNNNNNNNNNNNNNNNNNNNNNNNNNNNNNNNNNNNNNNNNNNNNNNNNNNNNNNNNNNNNNNNNNNNNNNNNNNNNNNNNNNNNNNNNNNNNNNNNNNNNNNNNNNNNNNNNNNNNNNNNNNNNNNNNNNNNNNNNNACAGCAUUUUACUUGAUAUGCAUGUCGUGUCACAGAAUUUUACUUGUUAUGCAUGGCGUUUGACAGCAUUUUACUUGUUAUGCAUGGCGUUUAACAUCAUUUUACUUGAUAUGCAUGUCGUGUCACAGAAUUUUACUUGUUAUGCAUGGCGUUUGACAGCAUUUAACUUAAUAUGCAUGGCGUGUUACAACAUUUUACUUAUUAUGCAUGGUGUGUCACAACAUUUUACUUGUUAUGCAUGGCGUGUCACAACAUUUUGAUUGCAAUGCAUGGUGUGUCACAACAUUUAUUCCUUAUAUAUGUGUUCAGUGUACCUUGUUGCACAUGACUGCUUAACUCUCUGGUGUAUGUGUGCCAUAUUUUGCAGAUCCAACGCAGAGAGUAUGAGGAUCUUGAGAGUUUGCUGAUCGUGCCGAGGGAGAAGUAGGCGUUCAAUGUCGCAAUUAACACUCACUAUAAGUGGUCGCAGCUGCAUUCCAUCACAAAGACUCUCUAACAGAAGGGGGAGUACGAUCCAGUUAAGCGUACCUGCUUCGGAAUGCUCUUGGACGUAUAUCCACAGGGGUACUUUUACGUCGGUCUCUUGCACAACAUCAUGAUUCACCGGAUCACUGAGAGGCAGUCAAUGGACCACGAGCUAUGGUUUGCCAUUGGCAAGAGCAAGGCGCGACUAUCAAAGCGGGAGUUCUGUCUCAUCACCGGGCUGAAGUUUGGUCCAAUGCCCGAUGUGUUCAGACGAUCAUACGAGGUUGCUGCAGAUGGAAUUCAUGCAAGAUACUGGAACGGGGAGGACAGCGUUAAGCUGCAGGCUUUGCUUGAUACCUUCCGCGGGGGUAACUUUCAGCGACCAAGAGAUGCGACCAAGAUGGCACUCGUCUUGAUCGCGAAUAACAUUUUAUUUGGUCAAGACUACCAUAGACGGGUGACGCCUUAAUUGCUGUCAUUGGUGGAGGACAUCGACGUUUGGAAUGUCUUCCCAUGGGGGCACUAUGUUUGGAAACUGACCUUGGACUACCUUUUGAAGGGGUUCGAAGUUCCUGACUUGAGCGUGACAAAGGAAACUCGGUUACGUUACAACAUUUACGGAUUCGCAUGGGUGAUACAGGUACUAAAACGUAACAUUUUUCAAUUUCCUUUCGAAAAAAAAAUUUAUGGGUGUAGUCGUUUAUGAUUGACGGUCUGAUAAUGGUUACAUUUGGCAUGCAGUUAUGGGCAAUGGAGACAAUUUCGGCCCUCCGAAAAAUAGUUGCCCUCUCUGGUCAGAAGGACAACGUCCACCCAUGAAUGUGCAGAUGGGAUUGCAAUCAGAAGCCAAAAGACUUCUACAGGACAAUUCAGAAGUUAGAGUCAUCUGACCAAGUGAGUGAACAACUGUUAAUUUUUACGUUAUAUUUGUAAAAUAAUUUUCCUUAUUCGAUAAUGACAACAUUUUAUUUGUUUAUUUGUAGUUGUGGGCACUGGAGGCGUUGUAACCCACCACGGAUGAGGCCCUCCGGGAGUAUUUUGUGGACCUUGAUGUCCCGUUAUCAGAGGGCAACGAGUACGUGCCAAUAGGGCACAUGGAGGAUCGGUCAGCUUGGGGCUUAGGUGCGAGGCUAAAAAGGAAAAGCUUGAAGGAGAAAAGAGCCUCUGGUGGCACGAAGAGGAUGCACACCGCCGCUGCUUUAGUUGAUGAGUUGAUGGAUGAAGGGGACGACCAUGGUCAAGGCAGUGAACAGCCAGUAAGGACAAUUGUAACAGUUUUGUGUUCUCCAAUUCCAUUUGUGAUUAUCGAAUAACAUUUCUGUGUUUGCGGUUGGACCAUGGGUCGGCAGCUCCAGAACCACCCACCGGUCUUCCUCAAAUGCAAAGUGGAAACGACCUGUCGGUAAGAUCGGUUCUAACGGUUUGUGUUCUACAUUCUCACAUAUGUUUAUCGAGUAACACAGUAAUUUAUGUAAUUGCAGUUUACGGAAGCGACGACAGGUCCUCAAGCACCGAUAGGUCCAGCUCAACCGCAGACUGCUAACUAGCCGGCGGUAAGGAUAUUAAAGUUAUAACAAUUAAUGUUCAACAAAUUCAUACAUGAUUAUUGAAUAACACAAUUAAAUAUGUAAUUGCAGUAUGCGGAAGCGACAAUAGGUCCUGAAGCACCAAUCGGUUCGGCUCCACCGCAGACUGCUAACGAGCCGCCGGUUAGGAUAUUAAAGUUGUAACGGUUAAUGUUCAAUAAUUCCAUAUAUGAUUAUUGAAUAACAUAAUUAUAUAUGUUAUUGUAGUUGACCUAGUCGAGAACAGUCAAUGACGGAGCAGUCACAACUCGCCAGCUCCGAUGGAUCAUGCGCAAGCAUGAAAAAGAUAUGUUGGAGCUGAAGGCUUCAAUUCAGUCAUUGAGUGUAGCAAUGUAGACGAUUGAGGACCAUAUUGUUGGUCGGAUUCUUGACGGCCUUAAAUCACAAGUACGCUAUUCUAUCUUCGCUUGUAUUUUGAUGGUUUACGUUUAGCAACUAUUUAGACUGUGUUUUCUUGAUGGUUUUAACUGCUUUUUGGUCAUUAGCGGGUCAAGACAUUUCUAUUAUAGUUAGUUGUUGUCGUGUCAGCUUUAGCGUGUCACAACAUUAUAUAUGUUAUUUAUGGCGUGUCACAACCUUUGAUUUUGAUAUGCAUGGCGUGUCAGAACAUUUUGCUUGUUUUCCUUGGCGUGUCACCAAGUUUAUCUUGUUAUGCAUGGUGUGUCACAACAUUUUCCUCAUUAUCCUUGGCGUGUCACCAAGUUUAUCUUGUUAUGCAUGGCGUGUCACGACAUUUUACUUGUUUUGCAUGACAUGUGACAACAUUUUACUAUUUAUGGGUUGUGGUAUUUUAUAAGCUAACUAACUGUUUUUCCAAUUUUGUAGGGCGGUCCAUCUCACAGUGCUGGUCUGGAGCACGAUGAUGCUGAUGAUGGACAACAUCAUGAACUUGGUGUUGACAUUGACGAUGACGUUUUUGGUGCUGAUGGAGAGCACGUAACUCAUGUAGAUGACGUCGUCGAAGAAGCUGUGGCAGUGGAUGUCACCCUUCAGUCAGAUGCUGAAGGAGAACAUCUUCCUCCGGCCUAUGCAUUCAUCGACGCAGCAGCAGGAGCUAUCGUUCAUUAUCGUGAGAGCACUCCUGAUACAGUUGAGAUACGGUUGUCGUCACCAGAGUCAUUUGCUGUCCAUCAUGGUGCAACAAAAGUUUCAAACCCAACUGAGCGGGCACGGUUGAAAAUGGUGAACAAAUACAUGGCAAGCCCAUUCGUCGACCCCUUAGUGACCCGUCGAAAUGUGAGGGAUAAUAUAGGAAAAGACUACGAAGCUUUCAAGAAAGAGGAGUCUGCGAGGUAAGCUCAUAAAUAAAAUUGCAAAUAUUGUUUUUCAAUGAAACAGUUAUCCACCAAGACUUAUGAAAUUAAUUAUGUUACAUAUGCAAGUGUAACAUCGGCAUCUUAGGGGAUCAAGGGGCUGACUUUUUCAUAACCUUAGAGGAUCCUAAUAAGGAAAUGACAAGUGAACAUAUCGACGCAUGCCUCAGCCUAUUCUGCAAGCGGAUGACAGGGCCGAAGUCGAAGUUGUACACUACCCGUGCAUGCAUGGUUGACACGAUAUUCUCCGUAAGUUUAUUUGAAAAUUGUUCAAUUCUAUAAAUACUAAGUUUUUGAUUGCAUGAAGUGUAAGCUAAUAUUUACAUGUUUUACAAGACACCAUCCGUAUACUACACACAGAAUUUCCAACAGAAGAUGCCCAAGCCAAAAUGUAAAUUCGAUGAGUUGCGGGGCUAUGUGGAGGGUGAAAGGCCAACGUACGCCAAAAAAUGGAAAGAUGUUGAUUUCAUCAUCGUGCCUUGCAACGUUGGUGGGCAUUGGGUGGUUGCGAAGAUCGACUUGGUGAGGUGGACGAUCAAGGUUGUGGACGAAGCAAUAACUUCGAAUGCUAAGGAUAACGGAGUUCGUGCGGGUCAGAUGACACCCUUGACGACAAUGAUGCCAUUAAUCUGCCACCAAGCCGGUUAUUUCAACAACAUACGUAGGAAGAGACGGGAUUUGACACCGAUGCCAUUGGAUAUUCAUUUACCAAAAACUAAAGUGCAUUGGCAGAAUGAUAGUGUCAGCUGCGGUAUGUUCAUGAUAGGGUACAUCGAGCAUAUUUUGCAAUCAGAAAAGAUCAGAAUUAAGCAGAAUAUGAUUGCAAAAAUGCGUCGGCAAUAUGCUCUGGAAAUUUUUUCCAACAAUUGGGAGAGUGAACCUUGAACAUAUAGGCCCUUGUUUGUAUAAUUUUUUUGGUACACAUAAAUUUUUUUAUACAAUUCAUUUUAUACACAUUUUUUGUACACACUUUUUAUUGAAUACAAUUCAUUGUAAACAGAUAUAAUUCUUUCUGUAUACACAAUAUACUUUGUAUAAUUAUUUGAUACACAAUUAACUUUUUUGCCUAUACACAAUUAAUUUGAUACCAAUAAUUUUUUUUCUUUUCUAUAUACAAUAUAUUUAAUUUGAUACACAGUCGGAAGAAGUCAGCGUGUGACACCUUAAAUAUGAUACCACUCAACGUGUCCCAACAUACAUCUGCUUGCACUAAGCGUGUCACCCAAAAAUUUAGCAAUUAGUCAACGUGUGAUGCCGUAAAUCCACUAACACUCGGCGUGUCAGCCGAUAAAUAUACUUCCACUCAGCGUGUUAGAAGAAUUGGGCCGUCGUGUGUCACCCCAGGUUGGCAUUAAUUAAUUUCUAGGUUCGUCGUCUUUCUUUUCCAGGCACACCGGCUGCACCAACCCAACAUUACAUUGAUUAACAUUGAAUAUAUAGAUUUUUCCAUCCAUCUAAUUGCUUCCAGCAUGAAAUUGUUCUGUAUCCAUCCUCCCUUAUUUUUCCAGUUGUUUCCAGGCCAAAAUUCUAUCCUGCCAUUAUAAAAUCAUACGUCUAAAUUUACACACCAGAACUUGUUAUGCAUGGCGGGUUAGAACAAUUUAAUUGUUAUGCAUGGCGUGUCGGAACAUUUUGCUUGUUAUCCUUGGCGUGUCACAACCUUUUACUUGUUAUGCAUGGCGUGUCAGAACAUUUUGCUUGUUAUCCUUGGUGUGUCACAACCUUUUACUUGUUAUGCAUGGCGUGUCAUUUCAUUUUUCUUGUUAUGAAUGGCGUGUUACAAUAUUUUAUUUGAUAUGCAUGGCGUGUGACAACAUUUAACUUGUUAUGCAUGGCGUGUCUCACAUUUAUUCUUUAUUUAUUUCUUCUGUAUACCUUGUUGCACAUUAUGGCUUAACUCAUUGGUGCAUCUGUCCUAUGUUUUGCAGAUCCAACGAUAUAGUAUGAGGAUCUUGACAUUUUGUCUGCUCGGUAAUUCUAUGAGGCCUUUUUAGUUACGGACUUUGUUGCCAAACAUUUCAGACAGAUAAGCAAAUACAUGGCUCUUGUCUGAUAAAGAUUGUAAUUAGAAACAUUUUUUACAAACAAAUAAGAAUGUACUUUAACACGAUCUUGAUCAGAUAGAGGCCUUGACAUGCUUAUCUGCCUGAAAUGUUUGGCAACAAAGUCCGUAACUAAAAGUGCCUCAUAGAAUGAUCGAGCAGACAAAUCCGUAAAGCAAAACGAAUUCAACUACAAUUUUCAGAUACAUUUAGUUAGGCGGUCAGGCUGUCUUCAUUCACAACACAGCUUACAUUUUCAGACAUUCUCCUUCGUAUUGGACAGUUGUUGCGUGUGUGAUCGAUUUGUCUGCAACUUGAACAUGCUUUGGGUCGGCGCAGUCGUGGAGUCGCCGAUUGACUUGGAGAUGGUGCUGGAUUUAUGGAUGGAACUGCAAAUGGGUAUGGGCAGUUCUGUCUGUCAUGCCCGUACCUCUUGCAUUGCGAACAUCUCCGUGCUUGACUGCCUUCACCAGCUGAUGGAAUCCUUCUCCUCCUAGGUUUUUCUGUUUGGCCUCGCCAAGGUGAAGGUAAGACGACAAUUUGUUUCACAUGAGGGAGGAUGCCCCACUCACUAGAAUGCCCUACCGGCCUAAUGGAUCCUGAAUAACCCUCCACGAAAACGGUUGUCUUGUAGUAGUCAGCGCAAAAUUCAAUGGCUUCACGAUUGCAUUUACUGAAAAACACUAAAAACUCAAUCUUCAAGCACAAUGUAAAGGCUAUGUCAAUUACGGUUCAAAUAAGAAAUAAAUAUAUUCUGACCUUAUUACUGCAAUGGCAUGGCUGCAUGGCAGUAAAUCUGUUUGGAACUCACAACAUGAACACGUCUUCCUGGACAAGUUUACAAGUCCAUCCAUCUUCCCGUCUUUAACUUCAAACUUCACUCGAUUGAUAAGCUUAACUAGAAAGCGAUGUGCAUCAUUGAACCUUUUACUCAACUACCUGGCAACCCAAGGGCUGAGGGGCGUGGUCACCUUGACGGCCUCUUCGUACCGUUCAUGGAACCAACACUGGAACAUGUCUUUGAUGAACUCGAUCAAAACAGUGAUCGGCAUUUGUCUUGCAUGCUUCAAGCAUGAGUUAACACAUUUCGCAAUGUUGAAUGUCAUCAUUUGGUAUCGCCUUGUCGGUGAACAUGCACGUGCCCAUUUCUCAGGCCCUAUUCUUAUAAAGUUCGCGUGGGCUCUCAGGUGAAUCUGCUGUAUUUGGUUCAUAUGUCUGUUGAAAUCAGCCACCUUAUAGCAAUCUUAAGCAAGGGUGAAAAGCAUACAAACAUCGUCACGCUUGAACUUGUUUUUAAAAUUUUUUUUCAAGUGGUAACCGCAUAAACCAUGGUGCGCUUCUGGGUAUGCAUUUUGGAUUGCUUUCUUAAUGCCGAGAUGCUGAUAAGAAAUGAACAUAGUGUUUUCAGGACAACCAACCGCAUCAUGCAGCUUAAGAAACCACAUCCACGAGUCUUCGUCCUCAACAUGGCCGAUGCCAAACGCAACUAGAUAUAUGCACUCAUUCACAUCUUUGCAUACAGCGACAAAUAAAACACCUUUGAACCUGCCUUUCAGAUGUGUCGCAUCAAUUGCAACCGUAAGACGCAUUACAUCCCUAAACCCCCGAAUACAAGCCCUGUAUGACCAGAAACAAUAUUUGAAUCUCUCUUCCUCAUCAGUAGCCAUUGCAGUCACUGUGCCAGGAUUUUCUUGUUCCAACAUAUAAAAAUACGAUGGUAGUAGUUGGAAUGACUCCUCCGGUGGACCGAAAACAAGCCUCUCUGCAUACUCCUUCGCUUGCCAAGCCUUACCAUACAAGCAUUCCAAUCCCCACUGAACCCUCAUCUCACAAAUUAUGUCCUUAAGUCUCAAUGCUACUCCAUUACCCCGAAUCUUGUGUGACAUAAGUUCACCAAUCAUCUUCCCACUCGUAGUUGGAAACCGUCCUUGCAAACCAUCAAUGGUACAGGUAUGUACUUUGUGGAAUGUUCGAACUUUCCAAUAUUCUCCUCUAUCAGGUAACUUCAUUGCACGAACACUGAACUUGCAUGCCUUGUCCUUGCAACCAACCUCAUAACGAGCUUUACAUGACUUUUUUACUCUUAUCGCAAACUUCUCUUUUAUAACCAACAUGUUCAAAGCUCGUUUCAACUUUGCCUUCGACGAAAACAUUCUUCCUUUGUAUAAGCGAUCUUCGGCACAUGUCGACUCCUCAGUGGUAAUUGUUUGGAAGAAGAACCUUUCUGCACCUGUAAUUACCUACAUACGAGAUAUCCUUGCAUUUCCCCUUUCCUGAUCACUAUCAUCGAGCAAUGUAUCAAAGGAACGAAUCUCGUUCUCACCAACGAUGGGGUUAUUGUAUAUGGGGUCAUCACACUGAACAUCUCCUACAUUAACACCUCCAAUAGGUUCCGUUUCGCCUUCAACAUUAUUGCAAACUCGAAUGUCACUGUCAUAAAGGCAGUCAUCGUCUAAACUGUCACCUUGCGAUUGUUCAAGCCCAUCAUCUGAAGUGUGAUCAAAUCUAUCUUCACCGGCAGCGAACAAAUUCUCAUUUCCCUCAUCAAAUGCAGUAUUAUACUCCAACGUCGCAGUGUCACCCUCCAACCUCACAUUGAUAUCCUCAACUAUCGUAUUCUCAUUUGACAAUGGCAUUUCACACUCUACAGUUUCACCCGAUCAUUGCAUUUGUUCAAGAGAAGAAAGAAAUUGGUUUAAUGCACAUCCUGAUGGAAAUUGUGCAGCCAACUGUUCUGUUAAUGUCGUUUGUCUACCGGGCUGCACAAACUCUUGUGCAUACCUCAAUUGCCAUUGUUGUGGGUUACGGACCGAAUGCUGUGGUAUAUGUGAAGCAUUUUAAAUCUCAUUUUAAUUCAGUUGAUUACUAUGUUGUCCAACUUCUCCAUGUGACAUAACAUUUGUUUGGCGUCUCUUAAUGCUGACAUACACAGCCGGAACAUUCCUCUGUUCUAGCAAAAUUAAUGCAACAUCUUCAUCGUCCUUGAUAAUUGGCCGUGAUAGCUCUCCAAGUGUACUGAUCAAUGCAUGUAACUCAAUCUCGUCAAUUUCUAAGUUUACCCCAACAACAUCUUCAACCAGCUUUAUCAAGCCCAUAAACGACAAAUCACUCUUAACCCCCCGCAUUCGUGACUCACCACCCUUGUAAAUGCCAUCCAGCCACUGACCAUCGUGUCUUAUCACAAGUCGCAUAAUUGAAACCCCACUGAAAUUUUGAAAAAAAAAUUAUCAAUCAUUUUACACAAUACAUGCCGUGAUAAAAAAUUUGUCAGUCGUGUUGUUACACGCCAUGCAAAUAACGUAAAAUGUUGUAACACGCCAUGCAUAUCAAGUCAAAUGUCGUGACACGCCAUGCAUCAGUAUCGUUACACGUCAUGCAUCACUGUCGUGACACACCAUGCAUCACUGUCUUGACACGCCAAUCACUGUAAUUACUGACUGGUUACACCAACAUCCGUGACACGCUAAAAACCCAAAAAACCAGUUAACCCAUGACACACCAGGAACAGCCAUGACACGCCAAAAACCCAUAAAUUCAGUUAACCCACCACACCCCAAGAACAGCCGUGACACGCUAAAUAACUCUUCACUCAUGUUAUAGAUGCAUGGCGUGUAACAACUUUGGGCAAUGUUUCUAAUCCAUCUUAUCAUUUACACCAAAUGUUUCAAAAAUUUAAGUGUGUUGCAGAAAUAAACCUAAUAACAGGUACCUUGAUGUCAUCUCUGCUAUAGGGUGUGUUAAUCUACGACAAUGUGGCCAGAUGUCGAGAGAUAAACCACAGCCCGAUGACGAUGGUGCUCAACAGAGAGUUGACAGAGCUCAUACAAUUCAAAGAUUUGAGAGAGCUGACAAUGAUGGUGCUCAACAGAGACUUGCCACAGUUGAGACAAAGAAAGAUGACCGAGCCCAAACAGCUUUGUGCAUUUAUUUUUAAUGUUUUUCAUUUUCUCUCUGGUAGGAGGCAGAUAGCUCAAACAGCUAAGCAUUUAUUUGAAACGAUAUUUUUAAGGGCAUUUUGGUCUAAUUCAUGUUUAUUUUUGGGUAGAAACAGAUAACUUUAUAUGGGUGGUUAUUUCUGAAAUCACCUUAUCACGAUAUCCUUCUCUCACAAUUUCCUCUUUUUAAAUUUGGGAAGAAGCUUGCUAGGAGUUCUCUCUCUGUCCCUUAAGGGUUGUGUGCUUGUGGGGGGUGGGUGUUGGGGCACCCCUAGACCCAAUUUGAGACUGUUGUGAGUACUCAGAAUAAAGGAAAGAAAUUUUUGUGUUUAAGAUUGAAAAAUCACUUUCACAUUACAUCAGCAACGAAGAUGCUAUAUCUUGCUAAUAUUCUGGAACUUGUUAUCCUUUGAAAGGCAAAAAUUAGAUAUGUCUUCAGUAUGUUUUAUUACUAGGAGAUUGAUUCUUCAACAUGAGUAGGAUCUAUAAUUGCCUAUAUAUGAAGUUGGUCUUAAUACUUGUGAGUUGGUGGACUAUACUAGGGCAAUUAACUGAAAUCUUACGAAGGGGAAUUGUAGGGGAAAUUAUUUAGGAAACUAAGCAGUUGGAGUUUGGCUUUAAUGUAAAGAUAUUUUGGUAACUAAGCAAUAAUGGUUUGGCUUUAAUAUGAAGAUAAUUAAGUGAUUUCCACAAGUUUUAUUAUAAGUAAUAUGAUAUAAGAUGCACUUAAGCACUUAGCUUUAUGAUUUGUGCAUGUAUCCCUUGCUAAAAGAGCUGGUUUUAAAUUACCCUCCCCUAAUGAAAUAAAAUAAAACAUGAUAAUUGAUGGUUGUGCCCUCAAACUUUUGCCUUCAUAUGGUUUAUGUUGGUGGAAUUAAAACAAACUCUUUUGAUGAUCUUAGUGUAGAAGAAUCUGGUACAUUUUAGGGCUUAGCAUACUAAAUUAAACUAUGUCAUAAUUCUCAAAACACUGCAUUGCUGACCUUUUUUUCAAGUCCAUACAUUAAGUAGUAGAAAUACCUGCAAAUGGUUCUAAAGCAUACUUAAAAUAUUACUGCAGUACUGAUCUGUUUGGUAUUUCAUUUUUCUUGAUGUUUUUAAUUCUAAUUGAAAAUCAUAAAUCUAGUUGACAUUCUGAGCUCUUAGUUUCUAUGUUAAUUUAACAUACUGCAGAUUGUGGUUCUGGCAUAGGAAGAAUAACCAAGAAUCUUCUCAUAAGAUAUUUUAAUGAGGUAAGGUCAUUUUUCUCUUUCUAUUAGCAUAUUUUUAAUAUUUCUGACAUUUACCAUCUUUGCAGUUUAUUGAUAACAUGGUUCAUAGUGCAUAAUUUUUACUACCUAAAGAAUUUCUCAGUUGUAUUUGAAUGAAAAGCAAAAUUGGGUAGUGCCUUUUAAAAAAUUCAUGCAGGACAUGAGGAGGGUACCCAUUAAUUUCAAGGUACCUAAACCUUAACCCUAUAAAAAAUCAAAUAUCUAAACCCUAUUAAUUACCUGAAUAAUUUUAAAAGUUACUACCCUAACCUUAACCUUAACCCUAAUACAUUCCCGCUAUCCUAUAAUUACCCUAACCUAUUUAAAAGCCCGAUUAGAUAAAAAAUUUAUUAAAAUGUUCUUCAUGGGUACCCAAUUACCUAAACCCGAACCUGUAUUCAUAUACAAUAAUAUUUCUUCUACAUUUUACAUAUAAUUAACUACUAAUUAAAUUAAUAAAAGCACAAAUAAUAAAAUUUAAAUUUAAAUAAUCAAAAACUAUAAAGUGUGUUUAUAAAUUGAACAUAAUAUAUAAUAUAAAUCAAUAUUAUUUUAUUGUUUAAUAGUUAUUAACUUAUAUAAUAGCAAUGAUAUUCUUUAUAAAUGAACAUAAUAAAUAAUAUAAAGUAUAUGUAUUAAAAGACAAUACAAGUUAUAUACUAUAAAGUGUGUAUAUAUAAAUUAUAAUUAAUAAUUUUAUAAAUUUAUAUUUUAUAANAAAUUAUAAUUUUUAUAAUGUUAACAAAAAAUAAAAAGUAAAUACAUUUAUUUUUAAAGUGUAUAUAUAUAUAUAUAUAUAUUAAAAGUAUUUUAGUGUAUAUAUAUAAUAGUGAUUAUAUUCUUUAUAAAUGAACUCAAUAUAUAUAAAGUAUAGAUAUUAAAAGAUAUUACAAGUUAAUUAAUAAUCAUAGUUUCAUUAAUUAAUUUAAUUAAUUAUAUGAGUUUGUCCUUUACUACAAGAAAUUAAAAAAAAUAGUUAAGUUUCAAAACUAUUCUAAUCUCACAACUUCUUUUUAGAUAAUUAAGUUUAUCUAUAUAAAAGUAUCUAUAUUAUAAUUAAUAAUUUUAUAAGUUAUAAUUUUUGUAAUGUUAACACAAAAUAAAAAGUAAAUAUGGUUAUAUUUAAAGUGUGUACACACACUAAAAAUGUUUUAUUAUAUGUAUAAUAGUAAUUAUAUUUUUUAUAAAUGAACCCAAUAUAUAUGUAGACACUAGUUUUUUAGGUGAAAUAAACAUUAAAAAAAUAAAAGAAAAAAGAAAAAAAGAGAGAAAAUCAAAAAAAUAAUAAAACAAAAAUCAUAAACAAAAAUGAAUUAAAAAUAAUAAUAAUAAAAAUAGGAGAGAGAGAGAGAGAGAGGGGUACGACUGGUAGGGUGCGGACGCACCCUGCCAGGCACCACCCUCACUUUGCUAUACACGAAAAAUUCGCGUCUAGCAGAGUAAUGGGAGCGUGCCCCCUUUUGCCCAGUAUAAAGGGGGCACUAUAGCACAGGGAUCGGAGGAAUCGAUAAUAAAAAAAAUACCUUGGUAACAUUCAGCAACCAAAAAACCCUAGGAAUCUCUUAAAACCGAAAACAAACCCAGAAAAAAAUCGCUUGGAGUAAAAAACCUGCAAACCAAAAAUUCCUAAGAAUCCCUAGCAAAAUCUAGCAACCAAAACACCCAGCCACAAUCAAAAACAUCCUAAGCUUUCUAGCAGCCAGAAACCAUCCACAAUCGAAACAAAAAAAUUAAAAAAUCACAAAAAGGGAAAACGGGUAGCCGUGUUCUCUUUUUGGGGAUUUUUAGUUUGUUUUUUUAGGGGAGAUUUGGAGGGGAUUUCAGCAACCGAUGAGGUAUUUGAGUUUGGGGAUUUCGUGCCGCCGUAGUAGAGAGAGAGAGAGAGAGAGAGAGAGAGUGAGUGAGUGAGUGAGUGAGGAUUUGGGGUUUUUGGGAUACCACCGGUUUUAGAGAAAUAGAGUUAGGGCUUGGGUUUGCUACCGGUUCAAGGAAGGAUUGACCGGCGACUAGAAGGGAAGAUCUAGUCGGUCGACGACAGGGAGGGUAGAGCCAGAUUCAGACGGUAAAGAGAGAGCAGAAUCAGGCGAUCGGCGGUGAGGAGUGUGAUGCACCGUUUGAGCAGGAAAGGAACAGGAAAGUGGCUGUCGGUGAAGGGUUUUUGAGAGAGAGAAGCUGACGCCGGUGAAGAGGGGAAGGAAGAAGAGUUUUUUGGAGAGAGAGGACAGUAAUCGGCGGCUAGACAGAGAAACAAAAGGUAGAAAAUGAAAGGUUCUAGGGAGAAGAAAGAAAGGUGAGCGGUAAGGGAGAAGAAAAGAAAAAAGAAAAAAAAAGGGAAGGUUUUUCUCCAUUGCACCAAACAAUGCCGUUUUGGGCAUACCAGGGGUGGCUGUGUAAAGCACCAGACAGUGGGCUUAGUGAAGAUCGUGGGUCAACAGGUUAGCUUGGGCCCACUUAGCCCAAUCAGGUAAAAUAUUACUCAUUGCCAAAUGGGUCUGUGGUGAUUUGGGCUGUCUAAACUGUUAUGAUAUGGCUUGUUUAGAUUUAACCCAAUUUAUUUAGUUAGAGCUUUAAUACUUGAUGAUAUAAAAUUAAUUUUAAGUUAUUAUAAUGUUCUAAAAAUUUCUGGAUAAUAGUCCUAGGGUUAGGAAAUUACUAAAGAACAGAAUAACAUAAAAAUAAGGAUAGCAAAUAUAUAUAUAAAAAAUAAUAAUAAUAACAUUUUAGAAAGCGUUUAGUUAUGCAAAGAACUUAAGUUUAGGAGAAUGUUUAUUGCAAAUAUAUAAAUAACCCUUUUAAAUACAUGUAUAUAAAAAUAAUAUAUAAAAAAAUAUAUAAAAAUUACCAUGACAUCAACUACAAAUAUAAUACUGAUGAUGGGAUGAUUGGUCGGGACGGUAGGAGUCGCAAUCCCAAGCUAAUUUUCUUUAGGUUCGGAAUCCAAAUUAAGGCUUCACCAGUACGAUGGGAGGGCCUCGAUUUUGAGAUUCUGAGAUUUUUAUUCUAAAUAAAUAAAAUUUUACUACAUAAAGAAAAAAUUAGUCAAAAAAUAAUAAAUAAUAAAUAAAUAAAAAUAGAAAAAAUAAAAAUAAAAUAAGCAUAAACUUCACGAACAUAACAUAUAUUUUUAUUGCAUCAUGCAUACCAUUGCAUAUAAGUAUUUUUGUUUACGAGUUAAGCCCCGAUGAUGGGAUUUUUCGAGGAUCUUGUGAAGGUUAGUAUUUCUUGGAAAGUUUCCUAGGUGAAAAGAUGUCUUCGGGUCCCACCAAUAUGAUGGGAGGGCUCGAAAAAACAUCUUUAAUAAAAGGCUUUCGCUCGUAUUAGGUUCAUUAUUCACGAAAAUAUUAUUUUUUAAAGAAAAACGUGCGAUAACCCCGAUGAUAGGAUUUAUUCGUUGAAUUUGUGAAGGCGAAUUUCUUGGAUAAUUCUCUAAGUAAGAGAACACCCCGGAUCCCACCAGUAUGAUGGGCGGAUUCGGGAGAACGUCUUCGAUAAAAGGUUAUUCGUUCGACAUUUUUUAUCUCACGCCGUGCAUUUCAUUUUACCUUACACUUGCAUUUCAUUUUAAAAUCAAACAAAAUAAUUUAAUAAAAUUGGAGAUAUAAUAAGCAAGUUAUAGCUAAGGAAAUUAAAUGAACUUAAAAAAUAAAGCCUAAUAGGAUAAUCUAAAAAUAGUACCGUUCAUGGAACGGGCGUUUCAGGGGUGUUAAUCUUUCUCCGGGCGUAACCGUACUCCCGAACCUAGAUCUCGAAAAAUGUAGAACAAUUUAAGAUUCUUUCGACGGGCUUAAAUCUAAUUAAAACUCUAUCGAUUAGAAUCGAGUUAAUAGAUGGCCAAUCACACUUAGUAAAAAAGAUUGGUAGCGACUCCUAGUUUUUAGAGUUUUCACUCACGUCUAGCGGUUGGGUUCCCGGACCUGCACGUUACGACAAUAUAUAAAGUAAAUAUAUUAAAAGAAAUUACAAGGUAAUUAAUAAUCAUAGCUUUAUGAAUUAAUUUAAUUAAUUAUAUGAGUUUAUCCUUAAUUAUAUGAAAUUAAAAAAAAUAACUAGGUCUCAAAACUAUUCUAAUCUCACAACUUCUCUUAAGCUUUGCAUAUUAUAAGUUUAUAUAAACAAAGGUAUAUAUAUUAUAAUUAAUAAUUUUAUAUGUUAUAAUUUUUUUAAUUUUACUACAAAAUAGAAAGUAAAUNAUAUUUCUCUUACAUAUUCUAUAUAAUUUACUAAUGAUUAAAUUAAUAAAAACACAAAUAAUAAAAUUUAAAUUUAAAUAAUCAAAAACAAAUAUCUCAAAUAUAACUAAUAGAAAGUAAAUAUAUUUAUAUUUAAAGUACAUAUACAUACACACACAUUAAAAGUAUUUUAAUAUAUGUAUAUAUAUAAUAGUAAUUAUAUUCCUUAUAAAUGAAUCUAAUAUAUAUAAAGUAUAUAUAUUAAAAGACAUUACAAGUUAAUUAAUAAUUAUAAUUUUAUGAAUUAAUUUAAUUAACUAUACGGAUUUAUCCUUAAUUACAUAAAAUUAAAAAAAAAACAUAACUUGGUUUCAAACUAUUCUAAUCUCACAACUUCUCUUAAGCUUUGCAUAUUAUAAGUUUAUAUAAACAAAAGUGUAUAUAUUAUAAUUAAUAAUUUUAUAUGUUAUAAUUUUUUUUAAUUUUAAUACAAAAUAGAAAGUAAAUAUAUUUAUAUUUAAAGUGUAUAUAUACUAAAAUUAUUUUAGUAUAUAUAUAGUAGUAAUUAUAUUUUUUAUAAAUGAACUCAAUAUAUAUAAUGUAUAUAUUAAAAAACAUUUCAAGUUAAUUAAUAAUUAUAGUUUAAUAAAUUAAUUUAAUUAACAUAUAUGUUUGUAUUUAAUUAAUGAAAUUAAAAAAAAUAGUUAGAUUCAAAAACUAUUCUAAUCUCAAAGACUCUCUUUAAGUAUAUAUAUUAUGAGUUAUAAUUUUUGUAAUAUUAAUACAAAGUAAAAAGUAACUAUAUUUAUAUUAGAAGUAUAUAUAUAAUAGUAAUUAUAAUCCUUUGUAAUAUGAUAUGAUAUUCAUAUUAUUUAAACAUAAUUUAUAAUCUAAUAAUUUUUUAAUUGAAAUAUUUUAAUGUAAUCACAUUAAUAAUUUGAGUAACCAGACUUUUUAAUAUAUUUGUCAGCUUUUAAUAAAUAUAUUAAUGUUGAUUAUUUUUAAUUUAAUCAUUUAAAUAACAACAAAAUAUAUAUAAACAGGUAUUGGGAUCGAGUUCGAGGUGGGUACCCGUGUAACUUGAAUAGUAACAUAAUCGGGUUCAGGUAGCGGGUACCCAAGAGGUACUACCCCGAACCUGAUAUGGGUAGUGAAAUCACUAUCCGAACCCGUCCUAAACUUGAUUAUAGGGUAUCUUAAUCCGAUAUAACCGGGUUGGAUACCUGUGGGUAUCUUAUAAUAGGGUAUGCAUUGCCAUCCCUACACAUUAAUAUGUAAUUCCAAUACAGUGAACAUGAUGUGGAACAUGGUGGACUUUUUCUUUUUCCUCUCUUUUUCUUUCAUCGAAUGAUAUGAAUCAGUGACAUAGUAUUAGUUGGAGCUACUAUCUUAAUAAAGCUGCAUAGUACUUUGUGAUAGCUAUGCUUUUGGACCCCUCUUCCCUUUACCAUUCUCCAGGUUGAUCUACUUGAGCCAGUUUCGCAUUUCUUAGAUGCUGCCCGUGAAAGUUUGUCUCAGGAAUAUUUUGUAGCCUCUGAUGCGCACAAAGCAAAUAAUUCUACUGUGUCUCCCUUCAGGUCAUGUACUUCAAGACUACAUUCACACAUGGAUACAUGCUUCUUGAUGUCUUGAAGUAUUCAUAACUAUGGUUAAGUCCAUGUAAGCUAUGUAUUUCCAACUUUUCACGUUUCCCUAUAUUGCGGAUGUAGCCAUGUAAUUUGCACCUCAAGCAGGCAUGUUGUUUGAGUACAAUCCUGGGAAAAACUUACAGAAGUUAAGGUAAACAUGUUAAAUAUGGGUUUGCAUCUGGAACUCACAUUUGAAUCUGGGCAACAUAGUCUGUACUCUGUAGGCGGCUGGAUUCAAGUAAAUUUUUGCAAACAAUUAUUUACUCUUUUGUGUGUGUUGGGGUGGGGGGGGUAGGGGACAGCAUAUGGGCUAGUGAAUGAGCCCUUUAAGUUGGUGAUAUAUGUGCUUGUCUUCUUCUGAUGCUUCUGGCUGUUAAAUUUUACUUUAUAAAACAGAAAUUUGACGACCAUUUUUUUUUUGUCUUUUGCUUUUUCAGGAGUUCACCCCUGAUGCUGGAAGGUACAAUGUUAUUUGGAUUCAGUGGUGCAUUGGUCAUCUCACAGAUGACGACUUUGUCUCAUUUUUUAAGAGAGCAAAGGUGAAUAAAUCUUCUUCUUGAGACAGAACUUACUUUUUAUUUGACAUGUUGUGCUGUGUGGAAGUGCAUGGAAAGAUCAAAAUUAUGUAUUGAAAUUUUCUUGCCUGCUGUCUACUAUACAUUCGAAGUGCCUUGUUCUGAUUUUUGAAUUAUGAACUGUCAGAUCAUUGCAAUGGUAUCUCAAAUUUUCCUUUUCCAAAUUUAUUGCUUCAUGCUUUCUCUCUUGUAACGUCUUUUAAACCUUCUCACAGCUAUAGGAAUUAAGGUUGUCUAGAGAACACAACAUAGCAAACACCGGAAGGAUGAUAUCGUCAAACUCUUUUUUCUUUUUGCCCUUUCUUUUUGCAAUGUGUCGUGUUGUUCAUUCUAUUCUUCUUCCUGCUAGGUAACUAGCGCAUUUGAUGGGUUAGUUUGGAGUGUUUGGGCCCAUCCCUAGCACCACAGAAACAAGGCUGGAUAAUACUUUAUAAUUCAUACAGCUAUUUUGCUAUCAUCCGUUUUCUCACCUUACAAAAGCUUGUGACCAAAUUUUGUUGUGCCUUGUGCAUUGAAAUAAGAUUUAAGAAAUGAUGGUAGGUUGACUUUUGUCCCUUAAGUUUGUAAAUGGUGGGAAAUAAAAUUAAAUCUAGAAAGUGCCAUAUUCAUUUCAUUUUUUCCAGGUGCUGUUAAGCAUAACCUUUUACACUGCCUUCAAUGUAUUUUCAUCAAAAUUAAGCAAAACAUAUUAAUAAUAAAAAUCUCCAACAAGGAAAUUCUUGGGCAUGUGUAUGUGUAUGUAAUUUGGAGACCUGAUCUCUAAGUUGUGUCCUGGAAAGAACCUUGUUGAAAAUUAUUAUUCUUGCAUAUAUGAUUUAAAAGAUUCUAAUUUGCAUUUUAAUUUGAUAUACUAAUGAAUUUGUUGAUUCCAGGUAGGCCUUAAACCUGGUGGAUUCUUUGUCCUGAAAGAGAACAUUGCUAGAAACGGUAUUGUCUUUAUGACUCUUUGAUUUUUCUAAGCAUGUUUGUUUGCCCUCCCUCCCUCUCUCCCUCCCCUUUUUAAGAAGUGCUCAAGUUUUGUUUAAAGUAUUCCUCAAACUUUCUUAUGUUUUGGUAUUCUGUUGUAAAUUUUCGUGAAGCUGUUUUUUUUUUUUGGAAAUGCCGCAUGUCAUCUCACGUAUGAGAAGACAUAAAGUUGCUUUUUUGAGCUGAUAUUACUUUUUAACUUCGUCUUAUUAUGUAAUUAUCUGCCCUCUACAACUUUGAAGUAAAAUAAUAGUUUAUAAUAAUAGAUGUUCAAUUAAAAGAUAAAUGGAUAAAGGAAUUUUUAAGCUCCAUUUACACAAUCCAUUGCUUGAUACUAAGGGAAGCAGCAAGUUUUUGUUUUAUGCAUUCCUCAAACUUUCUUAUUUUUUGGUAUCUUGCGGUAAAAUUUUCAUAAAGUUGCUUUCUAGAGCUGAUAUAACUGAUUAACUUUGUUUUAUUAUGUAUUCAUCUGCCCGCUACUGCUUGAAGUAUACUAGUUAAUGUUUUAAAUGUUUAAUUAAGGAUAAAUGGGUAAAGGAAUAUUUAAGCUCCAUUGUCUUAUUUCGUUGCUUGAUACCAAGGGAAACAGCCAAAAAGUGUUGCAACUUAUAAUUCGCAGGUUCAGGAUGAGUUUCAUCUACUCAAAUGGGUAUGGGGUAUAAUUUUAUUAUGCCACCUAUUUGGGACACCUUUUGGUAACACUGUCUAUACAACUUUCUUCACUGAAAAUUCAUGAUGUAGUGGGGAAGUAGAAACAAUAACAAGAAACCAAAACAGUGAACAAAACCAGAACAAAGGUUAAAAUUGAGGUAAAACCGAAGUCGUAACAAGUUACAAGCCAGUAAGGCCAAUUGUCGAGCAUCUUAAGGUUAAAUAAACAAGUCACUCCCAUCUCAUCUGUAAUAGAUUGAUUCAAACCAGCUAGAUAACGAGAAGUCAACUGCUCAUUAGUCUCUUUCAAACCAACCCUAGGGAAAGGUCGUUGAAACCUGAAUGAAAUUUCUCAUUCAACUCCAUUUAAUCAGCAGCGGAAAUUGCCUCCUCAUCUUCAUUUUCAUGUGUUCCCAAGUGUUGAUUUUGGCUUGCCUGGAUGUGUUUGCUGCUCGUCAACUCUCUUCCACCAUUGAAGUGCACGCAGUCCCUUCAACUUAAGCUUCACAAACAGCACCUUUCUUUGUUCUGCCAUUGGUUUCUACUAAAAAUAAUUUUCGAAACUAUCUUUCUGAUCUGAAUAAUCUUUUGCAUGCAUCUUUUUCCGGAAGUCAUCUACCUUAAUUCUAACUCCACCACCAUUGAAGUCUAGGCAUGUAACAAUCAGCCUUCCAAUCUACCACAAACAGCACUAUUUGCUGGUCGAGCAUUAUGAAAGGGGUUUUUAUCCUCUCCAUAUUCAAUUUCAUCCUCAAGAACACCUACCGGUAAACCGAAAGGGUCAGUAUUGCCUUGUGGAUUCUCCAUACAGGCUCCCAUUGGUUCCUGUCACUUUAAAGCUUGCACAGCCUGCAACAAAUCUUCAAUCAUACCCAUCAACUCAGCCAGUUCUAUUUGCCGGUCUUGAUUUCUUUUCCACGUCCGCUAACAAGUCCUCUACCACGAUUAGCCAUGGUUUAUAAGCUAAAAUCCUAGUUCAACUUUAAGAUCUCUUCAUCUGAUACCACUUUGAUGUAGUAUGGAAGUAGAAACAACAAAAACAAAAGAAAAACAAUGACGAAAACCAGAACAAAGGCUAAAAUUGAUCUUAAGAUCAUAGUAGGAACAAGUUAAAGCUGUCUAAAGUUACAGCAGCUUUUAAUUGUAGCCCUUCGAUACAAACAACCCCAUCUAAUCCUAGCCAUUCAAACUAAUUAAAAAUGAUCACAUGCUAAUCACGACACAUGACUAGAUAGAAAACAUAAUUACCAACUUUUAACUAAAGUAAAACAUAAUAAAAUAACCAAUUGGAGAAAAAUUUAAGAAUGCUCUUGCAUAGCCUUGCCCAACAAUUAAACUUGCCUAAGGCUUGACUUAACCUAGGACUUAAGUCUCAUAAUUUGCUUGCAUUCAACUCACAAAAUACUUGGAUUCGAUCAGAUUAUUGUUGAGUUAUUCUUGAGCUCAAGUGACCAAUCGAGUCUAGUUCAAGUGUUUAUAUUACUCAGUCAAGAUAGUUCAAGAGCGUAAUCAACUUUUAAUUUUUUUAAUAUAUUUUAAAAUUCCAUGUAUGUAAUACUCAUAUAAAACUAAAUAAUACAAAGAUCAAUCAAGUCCAGCUUGGAGGUCUCAGACAUAUGUACUUUCCGAAAAAAUGUUCAAGUUGAGCUUCAGGUCUUAGUUUUGUAAUUGAGUCGUGUCAUCUUCAAGCUUAUCAUUUUGUCAACUUGAUUUGGCUCAGUUAUGCACCUAGACUUUAACCAACUCAAACUGACUAAAAAGGUUACUGAAUUGAAAGUUGAGACAGGGACAACUCAAACACAAAGUAAUCUGGAAUUCUAAAUAUCGAAUUCUUAAUCAGACUCAACUUCCAUUUUUGUAAUCUGCUGUGGUAUCUUAAAUGUGCUCAAAGUUCUUAAAGUUCUUAAAGUUUUUGUAAUCAGACAGGGACAAUUUUGUAAUCUGCUGUGGUAUCUUAAAUGGUGCUCAAAGUUCUUAAUCAGACUCAACUUCCAUUUUUUUGAUUCUGAAAAACAAAACCACCUUCACUGGCUAAAAUAAAGUGGGAAUCAAUUCAGUAUGGUACAAUUUAUAGAUAUGGUACAUUUAUAGAAAUGCUGAAUCAUUUGUCACUGGCUAACAUAUUAAUUUCAAUUCAGACAUCGAAUUUUGUGAUUAGAAAUGAAGCAGCUGAAUAUGGGUAUUAAGUGGAAGAAUUGGUUUAGCUUUUCAAAAGGAUAGGAUAGAAGCAGAAUUAUGCUUUGAGCAAAGAGAGAAGAAGGAGCCACUACGAAGCUCGACUUGAACAUCGCAAGCAAGUAAAAGUUCUUUAAGGCUUUUAAUGCUCUUUAUUUUUUUUUAAAUGAAAUUGUUAACAUUGAAUAGUAGAUGAUUGGGUAGUAGAAAUGAGAGGUUGGUGUUGUUAAUGCUUUAGGGGACUUAAAUUAGAAAGUAGUAGACUACAGAACUUUUAGAGAAAUCUAGGGGGAAACAGCUAUAUAUGUAAAUUCAUUAGAUUGGAUUUGGUAUCAGAAGAUUUAAGGGAUUUAUUCAUUUAUUUAUUUAUUUGGGGGUAAGAUGGGCAAUUUAGAGGCAUGAGGGGUUGGGGGGGGAGGGAUAAAAGUCCAAAAAUUAUAAGGAGAAAGAUAAGGAAGGAGGUUAGUGGUGGGAUGCAGGCUCUGUUUUGGAGAAGUGGCCUCAUGACAGGAAAAUUCAGACAAGUUAGGUGAAAAAAGUUAGAUAAGGUGAAGAGUUGGACUUUGUUUAAUGUGCUGGGCAAAGAUGGUGUGUAGGGGGUAGAAGGCUAGGACUUUGACACUAUUGUUGUCAGAAGGGGCUUUAUGUGUUGUUGAGGGGGUGAUCAUGGUAGUGAACUUGUAACUUUAGGAAGAAUCCAGAAGUGGUAACAUCCUACCCUAUCGAUCAAGGAUUCAUGAACUGGAUUCAAUUACAGAUGUUAAGCGUGAAAUUAGUUUGGAAAUGGGUUCGGUUGCAACUCAAUUAGGACUUUGUACUGCAGCAAUAACCAUUGGCAUUACCUGUAAUAAUAACUAAAAGAUUUACUUGAGCUUUCAGUUCUUCAAUCUCGUCUUGAAAAGUGCUCAAUGCAUCCCUUGUCUCAUCACUCAGGAUAUUAUUCAUCUCGGACAGUUCUCAUUAGACUGUCUCAAUUUCAUCAAUUCCUUCACGGGGAACCAUUUGAGCUUUUACUGUGGCCACUACGGCCUCUGGCUCAUAUCCUCUGAUGGUCCUCUAGUGCACUCCACGUGGUCAUCAUUUGUACACUUUAAAUCAGCACCUCUCGCUCGUGUUCUGAUACUAACUGUUACGAACUACACUAUUUCGCCUAAAUAUACAAUAGUCUAUGCGGCACUUGAGUGGACGCUUCCACGCAAGUCAACCAAUACUCGGUUAUAUCUAAUCCAACAUUAAUAAUAACAACAAAUCAGACUAAGAGAACUCGUAUCAAAAUCAAAAGGCAUACCGAAUGCUAUAUGUGUAACCACUGAGUUAUAAAAAGGAAAAGUGCUUUAUUAAUAUAAAAUUAAUUACAAAGAGAUCGAGAUAGGUCAUCGUCAGGCCAUAGGGACAGCCUUAUAUGAUUCACUACAAAUAUACCCUUACCAAUGAAGCAGGCUAACAAUCCGCUGAUUGUUCAUUUUCUAUAAAGAGUUUACGAGAUUUUAUAAGUAUUCUAUUAAUAAUCAUUACAAUGCUUGAAGUAAGGAUAUUUCUUUUCUAAAAGAUCUCCUUUCUAAAAAUUUGACAAGUAUUUGUGAAAGUAUCACCACGAGCCAUUACAUUGUUUGAAAGAGGAACAUUUCCCUUAGAGGUAUAAAAGACUCAAGCUCCAAGAUAAUUCUACGCUAUCAUAAUCCGAUACAAGGUUGGCUCAUGACACAAUGGCCAGCUCGUUCAUCCUUGUUAUAGCCGUUAGUGCACAGAAAAAGUUUUCUGUGAUUUGCAAUCCUGUUUUGUUGGUUUUAUUUUUCCUAGGCUAGAACUGUGGGAGUGAUUUUGUGAUGAGUAUAAAUAUCAUUUGUAACAGUUGUUGCAAUUGAUUUUUUCCCUGAUCAAUGAAAAGUAUAUUUCCUUUCUCUCCCGCAUGACUCUGUUUUCUUCUUCUUCAUUUUAGCCUUCUUUGCAGAAAUACUUUUAAGUUUCUUAAAAUCCUUUCAGGAACAAAGCAAAUGAAAGGUGCAAAUUACUGUGUUUUGUGGAUUUGGUGUUUAUCAAUCACCAAAUGAAGAUUAUUUUUAGCUCACUUCCAUGGUCUCUUGCUGGCCUGGAGAUACGGUAUACUCAGGUUUAAAGCAAAGGAAAUUGUGUGUUGGUUAUGUUGAUGUUUGGUGCCUGAUCUUUGCAAUGAGGAAGCUGAAAUUACAUUGAAUCUGGUUGCUUGGGAUAUUUGUUUUACUACAGGUCUUAUGCGAUGGUCAUUGGGAUUAAUAUGUUUCAAGCUACUGGUUUUUCUUAUCCACUUUUUGAUGGCUAUAAAUUAAGUCUUCUCAAAAGCUGACUUGAUAAGAGUACUUCCAUCCAGUCAUGCACGACCAACUUAUUGCAGUGGUCCUAUGAUUUAAUCAACUGGAUUGCCAUUAAGGUUACUAUUUUCAAGCCAUAAGUUUUUUCUGCAACGUGCUUUGCAGUUCUCAUGUGUCUAUUUAUUAUUUGCUCCAUUGACAACUCUUCAUUAUCCUUUUUUGAUCAAAAAAUUUAAAUUUUAUUUUUUAAAUUAAAAAUGUAUAUAUAUAUAUAUAUAUAAAUUAUUUAUAUAUUUCCUUCUACUUUCUCAUUGCCACAAUUGGACUAUAAGCAGCAAGAAAUUUUCAUUUUGGCCCAAUAGGAGCAAGAACUGAAAAAUACAUGUUCUUGAUUUUCUGCAAAAUACGAUUUGAAUCAUGCAAGCAUAAGUGUUGAAAGUGUAGAAAGUUCUAACCCUAACAAUACGGAAGUGUAGAAAGUUUACGGUUGAUUUAAGUCUCAUAUAAUAAACAAAUUGCAAGUCUACGUCGCAAUCUGAUCCAUUAUUUUUUAUAGGGCUUUUUGUGGUUAGAAAUCUACAAAUAUAAAGAAAAAAAAUUGUAAAAUUGCCAAUAAAACUAAUUGAUGUAUCGAUUUAGAUAAGAUAAUUUUGAGUAUAGAAAUGCUUUUCGGUAAAAGUUGUAGUCUAUAAACUUAAACAAAUAUUAAAUCAGAGUGCAGGAACAAUUAGAAUACUAAUUCCACAUAAUAGCACCUAUAAAUGUGAAAUUGUAGAUCCAAGAAUUUUUCAACUAAUUUCUUUGUAUUCAGUCAAGGGUUUUUUUUCGUCUAAUUCUUGUUGCUGGUGAAAUUGUAGACACAUCCCUCUCAUUUACCCUCAUGCAUCCAGUCAUGUCAAUUGCUGGUAAAAAAUAAUUGUAGCGAGUUGUGCACGGUGAAGUUAUUGCAGUUGGCCAUGUGACCCUUCAAAUCGACAAGCUACUAGUUUUUCUUGUAACGUGCUUUCCAAUUCCCUUCUAGUCAUCAUUACUCAAUUGACUAUCUUUUGGAUUCACACGUCCAAUUUGAAUAUGCAGGACAUUCCUUGACUUUUGAUUGCUUUUCCAUAUUAAUUGACAAAUGAUACUUGAAUAACAUAUUCCAAUGACCCAAGAUAUGGGACUUCCUAGUUGUCAAUUGCGAUGUCCAAAAUUGAAGACCCUGAAACUAGUGCACUGUCCUGGCGGAUUCAGAUCACUACUAACUUCCCAAUUCCAUGAUUAAGAUCACAACUAUGCAAAAUUGAAUCUGGCUGGUCCCAUUGGGCUUCCUCUUUUAAAACCUAAGUUUGAUUCCAGUCCUACUUAUAAAUAAUGUUAAGAGAUUUAAUUUUAAUGAAUAAUAUUUAAAUUAAAUCAUAAUUUUAAUAUAAUAUAAUUUACAUCUAAAUUUAGAUAUAUAUAAUAAAACUUAAGAGUUCAAAUCAAAUUACACUCUUUUAUCUGACCUACUCAACUGUUUAUAAAUUAAUAUAAAUAAUAUUUUUUACCGAUCCCACUUUAUAUAUAAAUUAAUAAUCUACUUAUAGAUCAAAAUUUUAUACACACAUAUAUAUAUGACUCAAUUAGGAAGUUUUAAUAAAAUAUGACUCUAAUGUUACUUGUUUCGUCUUGAAAUUGAUAUCUUAUUGACUUUAUCUCUAAUUUUUCUUAGUGCAUUACAAAGGUCUGGUGUAGUGUUCUCGUAUGGUAAGAGAAAAUUAUGCAAUGUGAUGGUUGCUUGAGUGCAUCUUUGCACGAGACAAGCUCUAGUAUAGAACUAUCAUCUUCAACUUCAUUUUCUUUAUUAUUUCUCAUGUCGUUCUCAAUAAUUUGCUUGUCACUCAACAACUUUGAAGGUGGCUCAUUUUCUCCUUGGUAGUUUAAAAGGUACUCAAUAUCUAUUUUAUCACAAUACUUCAACUAUUUGAUUAGAACAUGUAAUUGUUAAAUUUGUCUAUCAUGUGAGCGUUGAUCCAAAUUUUUUGAAGUCACGUUAUCCAUACACCUAAUUUUACAAUGUUGAAAACAAUUUGCAAUUGUACCAUUUGUUGACCAAGCUGAGAUUGCAAGAUUCAUUAUAUCCAAAACAUUUAUCUUUUUUGGAUUUGAGAUUUCAAUUUCAUAACCCUCUAAAAGAUUUCGAUAAAAUUGAAGAUGAUAAUGCAUCUCGAUAGAAUAAUAAUAAUUUGUAAUUCGAUAAUAUUCGUAUAAUCACAAUACAGAGUACAUGUAUUAAGUUUAAUGUUUUGAGGAAAAAAAAAAGAUAUCUAGAUAAAUUAAUUUUUUAUUAAUUAAUGUAUAAAUUAAUAAAUUAUUAAUUUAUUAAUUCAAUAAUAUCUUAAUUAAUUAAUAAAUUUUCAUGAUUCCAAAGGUAUUAAUUUAUAGAGAUUUUAUUAUUGUAUUUUAAGCAAGUGUUAGAUUCCUUUGUUUAACAUAUAGAUUAAUAAAAGAAGGAAAGCAAAGAUUGGAUAUCAAGCUUAUAUUGACAAUAUUCCUUUUUACUUUCUCAUUGCCAUAAUUGAACUAUAAGCAGCAAGAAUUUUUCAUUUUGGCCCAUAAGGAGCAAGAACUGAAAAAUACAUGUUCUUGUUUAUUGCAAAAUACGAUUUGAAUCAUGCAAGCUAGUAAUGAACAACCACUAGUUUCGGGCCUAAAGAAACCCAGAAUAGGCUAAUCAAAUAUUAUGCAAGAUAAAUAAUCAAUUGUAGUUCCGUCAGUGGAGCUAUUAAUUAUGCCAGCGAUCGCCACAUCACACUGAAUUUUUACUUGUUGAUGUUCCAUAACAGUGUAGGCAAUCUUCCAUAAGAAUCUGCUAGGACCUCUCAAUCUCUCUGAUCUGGUUUCUCCUAAAACAGAAUGUGUUGCUUGGCACCACUGUACAUGUUGAAGCUGCCUUUAUAAAUUAUGAUAGCAGAGGGGAAAAUUACGACAACCGACCCAUAGGCAGGUCUAAUACUGUGUUCAUAGAAAGCAAAAGCACGAAGUAGGUUGACUGUUUUGGUUCCUAUUUGACGUCACAUAUUCAAAUCCAAUCCCUUUCACACAGUUUUUUCUCUGAUCCUUAGCUCACGUUACCCCCUUUUCUCAAGGUUUUUAAGUUCUAACCCUAACAAUACACUAGAAGUGUAGAAAGUUUGUGGUUGACAUGAGUCUCAUAUAAUAAACAAAUUCUACCGUUCAACCCAAAUUGCAAGUUUACAUCGCAAUCUGGUCUUUUGGUCUUUUGUUUUCAAUAGGACAUUUUGUCGUUAGAAAUGAUCUACCGUCCAACCCAAAGUAUAGGUUUACAUUGCAGUCUUGUCCAUUGUUUUCAAUAGGGUAUUUUGUGAUUAGAAAUCAACCGAUAUAAAGAAAAGACAUGUAAAAUACUGUUAUCUAUAUACAGCAAGAAGGAUUACUAUGAGAUAUUUAUAAAAGAGAGAUAGCCGUUGAUUCACUCUACGCUAAUUUUUAUUUAAUAAAUUAAUAAAAUAAUAAAAAUGAAUAUAAAAUAAGAUAAUAAUAAAAGCACAUAAAAAAUAGUAUCUACAGCCUCUUCCUUCAAUCAUCUCUCUCCAUCUGCCAAAAUUUCUUUCUCUGUUUGAGAUGGAUAUCAAGUCCAUCCUUCAUGAACACCACUUGCUCUGUGAUGAAUAUGAUGAAUCACGGGGACUUUGUGAUAUGUGCAAUCAGGAAAUUUGUGGUAUGGCUUAUUGUUGUGAAAGAUGCGAGUUUUCAUUGCAUGAUUCUUGCGUUCAUCAACAGCUACCUCCUCAGAUAAGUGCACAUCCUUGCCAUCCCCAACACAAUCUUUCUCUCGUAGGGUCAAAUCACAUGGAUUACAUAUGUGAUAAAUGUUUCAAUCUUUCUCGAGGCUAUAGAUAUCAUUGCAAAGAGUGUCAUUUUAGCCUUGGGUAUCAAUGUGCUUUUUCAACUAAUGAUGAGAAAAAUAGACUCAAUGGCGAGACAUUUAAAAAAAUUGGUGGUUUUACCCUCUUUAAUUAUAGGAGAGUGAGAAAGUAUGAGUAUAUAUGUAGUUGGUGUGAGAACCAUUUGUCUGGAAUGUCUUAUGCUUGUUUUGACAAUGGUGCUUAUACCUGCUUCCACGAUUCCUGCUUAAUCAAAUUGCCUCCCAUAAUAUUCAAACACUCAUUUCAUCCAUCACACCCUCUUCAAUUAUGCAACAGUCACUUUGAUAAUGGGUUGUGCAAUGCUUGCAACCUACCAAUAUGGGAGUUCAGAAAAGCCUACUGUUGUAGAAAAUGUAAAUUUCACCUUCAUGUUCGUUGUGCUAAACUACGACCCAGUCUCAAGGUUGAAUUACAUGAGCAUGAUCUUACCUUUUUUCGAAUAAAAGCUAAUAGCGCAACCCACCUAUGCAGGGUAUGUGGUUUUAAUUUUGAUGCUAUAGGGGACGAAAGUGCUUUUUAUCGUUGUGUCCAUUGUAAUUUCAAUUACCAUUUCAAAUGUCUUACAAUACCACAUUCUACUUCGCACAAGUAUCAUAGGCAUGAUCUGAUGCUUAUGGAUUCAUUUAUAGAAGAUGUUUCUGAAGAAUAUUAUUGUGAUAUAUGUGAAGAAGAAAGAAAACCCAAGCACAGUGUUUAUUGUUGCAAGAAAUGCAAAUUUAUUGCUCACAUCGAAUGUGCACUCAAUAAGGUAAGGAGACAUUUACUCUCUCUCUGAAGAAAUUUAAUAAAUGUUUUUUUCAUUAGAUAAACUAUUAAUUAUUUGAUCAUAGGUCACAUAUAAUGUGCCCCUUAGAAAAUUUUGAUGCUAAUAUUUUUACUUCCCUAGGUUGUGGAUACGAAACUUGAUCAAAGUUCGACCUCUAGUCUGUUGGAUAGUGAAGCUUCAACAUUGAAGGUGAUGGAAUUGGAUCUUUUAUAUUGAUAUUAUUAUGAUGUUUUCACUUGCCAAUAAUUUGUUUUUUUGAAGUUUACAUCGCUUAAGGUCUUCUAUUCCUUGGAUUUAUAUAUUAUAAAGAUUGUUUAGUAAUAAACACCAUUUACAUUUUUGAAUAAAAUUCAAUGAAAAAAAACUAAAAAAUGUAAAUAAUAUAAGUAAAAAACCUCUACUUAUGUAGCAGUAUUCAAAAUUGAUUUGGAGACGGCUUUAGUCAAAAUAUUGAAUGUUGAAUAAAUUAAAAACACUUACGUGCAUCAUGUUAAUUUAUGAACAUAUAUAUUUGAUUAUUUAAUUAUUGCUUCUAUAUUUUAGUUUUAUCUUAAAUUUUCAUUUCUUGUACUUUUUAAACAAAAAUAAAGAGUAAAUUUUACUAUUAAUCUUGACCUAUUUGUAAUUUUUUGUUUUCAUUCAUCCAUUUUGAAUUUAUUUCAAAUCCAUUUGUAUAUUAACAUGCCAAUAAAAUAUAGAUGGAAUUUGUCACGUAAAUUUCACAUAUUAUGUGAAUUAUGUGAAUGUAGUCACAUGGACGUAACUGUAGUACUUAGAUGGCAAUUCCGUUCCAUAUUUAAUAGUGUAUUGAUGGAUAGAUGAAAUUAAAAUAAUUUCAAAAAGACAUAAAUGGAAAAAUUCGAGUUUGUUUAGUCAUGGAUGAAAAUAAAAUUAUGACAAUGUUAUAAACUAAGGAUGCACUUUACCUAAAAAAUGGAGGAAGAUUAAUAACUUUCUUCACUCAACUUGGUCGUGCAGGUGCAGAUUGAACAUUUUGAUCAUCAACAUCCCUUAAGCUAUAAUGGGGCAAUUGAACAGAAUGAAAGUCUUCUUUGCAUUGCUUGCCGCCAAGAAAUUUUUGAUCAACACUAUGCUUGUGAAGAUUGUAAAUACUACUUACAUGAAACGUGCACUACAUUGUUGUAUGAGGUGUCACACCCUCUUCAUUGCCAGCAUCCUCUCAAGCUUGUCACGGAUAUAGUUGAAUUCACAUGUCAUGGAUGUAGGGAACAUUCUGAUGGGUUUGCUUACAUGUGCCUUCCAUGUGAUUUCCACCUUGAUGUGAAAUGUGCUACCACUCCAAUCCCACCUAAAAAUGAUGGGCAAAAGCUGAAAGAGAUGGAGAAAGUUUCCAAGUUUUGCCCUUUCAACCAAAAUCAUAAGCUAGACUUCUUCAACCGUAGACCCAAUCUUAAAGAUUUGGCUUUGGAAUGCGAUGCUUGCAAGUUACCAAUCUUGGGUCCAGGUUAUACAUGUCGUGAUUGUUUCAAUAUCAAAAUUCAUGAAUCUUGUCUUGCAUUUAUUCGGGAGAUGCAACACACAUUUCAUCCGUUACACCCGCUUCAUCCACAAAUCGGCGAUUGGGAAAAUUGUUCUGCCUGUAGAUUUAAAAUCAUUGAAAGUAUCGGUUAUAGUUGUCGGCAGUGUGAUUUCCACCUUCAUCUUCAUUGUGCUAAUUCCCUGAAGCUGGCCUUAAAAGUUAAGUCUCACAUGCAUAAUCUUUAUUAUUUUGGACCAAAUUAUGAGAAAUCUUACCAAUUAUGUAACAAAUGCAAAAGUUACAUUGGUAAGGAACCUUUCUACUAUUGCGUGGAGUGCAAUAUGAAUUUGCACUUAAAAUGUGUUCCCAUACCAUGUUCAAUUAAAUCCAAAUGUCACAUGCAUCGUUUGACUCUUAAAGAUCAUUUUGUGGAAGAUGAUUCUGGAGAAUACUAUUGCGACAUCUGCGAAGAAGAAAGGAACUCAAAAAAUCAUUGCUAUUAUUGUGAAGAGUGUGCUGGACAAUUUGUUGCUCACAUCGAGUGCGCGCUUCUUAUAGUAAGUUUAUCACUAUCAUUUUCUCUGUAGAAUUUUUCUAUAUCAUAUUAUUGAAUUUUCUAAAGGAAAAUAAGAAUCUAAAUUACACAUCACAUGAUCGUAUCCACCAUCUCUUUGAUUGAUUGGACUUUAUUAAUGGUUAAAGUACCUCAUAGGUCCAUAUACUAUAGAUUUUUCGUUCAACUAAUCUUUUUUCCCAAAAUUGGUUAAUUUAAUCUCUGUACUUUGAGAUUUUAUGUAAUGGAGUCAUUUUACUUAACUUCAUCCAAAUUAACCAUUAGUGGUACUGGUGACGCACUGACAUGUCAGAUAAAAAAAAAUUGACCAUGUGGCAUUUUUUUCUUUCCUCCUUUUUCUUUGCUCAUAUGUUCAAAACUACAUUGUUUUAGAGUACUAUUUAAAGCGGAUUUAGUUUUUUAUUUUUCAUUUUCCUUUUUAUCCUUCUCUUUAGCUUUCUUCUCUCCCUAGAUUUCGACCCCUAAAUGCAAAUUCUGGCUAUCGAUCACUAGUAAUAUGAAAAUCUAAUAAAAAAUAAAAAAAUUAGUUUUUUGGCCUUAUUUCCCAUAAUUAGGAUAGCUUUUUCAAAAUCUAUCUCGAUUUUUCUAGAUCUAAAAUCAUAAACUUGUAAAAAAGAAGCUUGUUUCUUUCCAUUGCUGUGUCCUCAACUUGAUGUUAAUGAUCAAGGGUUGUGUUUUUCAUGUUGUAGGAUUUUGAAUUCGGAGAUGGAAAUUUUCAUGAAUUUUCCAUCUUGAAAGAUGCUGGCUCACCUAUUGAGAGUUCCUCUAUGGAUAAGUUGCUUUCCCAACCCCAUGCUGAAGUUUACUUGAACCAAAACAGAAUGGUAGUUAAGUCCUAUAUAAGUUAUUUUAAAGAUCUCAUCUUUUAUGCGAAAAUGAAUUUUAUUUUACGAAUAGUUGAAUGAAAGAAAAGUUUCACGAUUUUGUGGGUGCCAUUGUCGUUGCAGAAGUAUUGGGUGAAUGAGAAGUUAAACAAAUACUGCUUCAUGUUGUUUGCAAGAGAUCUUUCAAUCAGUUGGGUAGAAGAGCACCGUUAUUGGCGUUGGUCAUACCAAAAAGAAACAAACAGGUUAGCGUAGAUUUAUUAUCCAUUGAGAAUCCUUACUUCAUAGUUCUAGCUUGACAGCUUUCUUAAUCCACAAACUUUUGAUUUUGUAGCGAUGUGUUGAUUGAUGUUGUCGAACUUCUAAAGGUGUGUUGGCUAGAAAUGAAUGUGAAAUUCAAUGUAAAAAAGCUCUCACUGGGAACUUUGUAUGGAGUUAUGUUUGUGUUUAAGUUGACAGAUGAAGCAUAUGGAUGGGGAUGUCCAGUGAACUUUGGAUUCACUCUUCCAAAUGGGGACAAGGUUGAACGCAAGGAAAAUUUGAUGACCAAGCCGAGAGGAGUAUGGAUAGAAAUCCCUGUCGGAGAAUUUACAACUUCAUCCGAAAUUGUUGGAGAAUUACAUAUUUGCUGUCACCAAUAUGAUGAAUUGAAUUGGAAAGGAGGACUUAUUGUUAAAGGAGUUGCUAUUCUACCAAAGAAUUAAGUUAUAAAUUAGUAUUUUGUCAUAAUAAAUCUGAAAGUACUGUAGUUUUUUUGUUUGUUCAUAAUCUUGCAAAUUCUAAUAUGACAUGAACUUGAAAGGAACCAACUCAUCCAAUAAUCACCUCAACACUUGAACCAGUUUUCCGGUUCUCAUUAUACAAUAUAGGUUCCAUGCUAAAUGCAACAAACAAGCUCAUUGAUUUUUUUGAUAUUUUUUAUUAGAUUUUUUGACCACCAGUGACUAGUGGUUGGCUGUCGAAAUCUGGGUUUGGGGAUCAUAAUCUAGAAUAAAUUAUUGGAUAGAGAGCGAAAAAGGAAAGAAGGAACAAUGAAAAAAAAAACUAAAUGUCCUUUAAAUAGUAGGCUUAAAAUAACUAGUUUUGGACAAAUAAGAGAAAAAAGAAAAAGAAAAACCAUGUGAUCAAUUUUAUUUUUUUAGUUGAACAUGUCAACGUUAGCAUUUUUUGACAUGUCAGCUCGUCGUUAGCACCACUAAUAAUUAAUUUGGAUGGAGUUAGAUAGAGAGAAUCAAUAGUACAAAAUCUAGGUAAGAGGGACUAAAUUAAUCAGUUUUGGAUAGACAGACUAAAUUGAUAAAAAAAAAAAUCUUUAAUAUAGGUAUCUAUGAGGUACUUUGACCAUUAAUGAAUUCCAAUCAACCAAAGAGGUGAUGGAUAUGAUCAUGUAAUGUGUAUGUGUAAUUGAGAUUCUUAUUUUCCUUCAAAAAAAUUCAAUAAUGUAGUAUAAAAGAAAUCUAUAAAGAGAAAAAAUAAUUGUUCACGCCUCAACAUUUCCUGAAACCUUUUCAGCACUUUGAAGCUUUGUCCAUUAAUUAAUCGCCUUGUUUCAAGCAUGUUCUCAUAGUAACAAAAGUCUUUACACUGUAUAGAACCUUUUGUUUCUUUUUGACCUCCUGUAAUCUUGAGCAAGGCUGAUUGUGUAUAUAGUGGAGCAUAGUUGUGUACAUAGGGAGAUGCAUGCUUAAGCUACAGGGAUGGUUUUUGUUCACUUGCCUUUUUGUAUAUUGAUUUUGCUUAAGGCAUAAAGGUAUAGAAUUUCAAAAAAAAGAUAUAAAAUUGUGGUAUUAGCAUCUUGAUAGCCACAUUUGGAAUAAAAAGGUAGCAAUUAAAAGAAGCAUUUUAUCCUUAAUGAUGAGCAAGCUUUUUUUAGCCUUUUUCAUUUUUAUAUUCUCUCAAUAAUUUCCUUCUUUAAAUAAAUAAAAACAAUGUUGACAGGGCAUGAAGCACAUGCCAUUUUCUUGUUUUUGGUAUAAAGGCCUGAGGGAAUCUUUGUUUAGGUUUUGUAUUUAAACACACUCUCUCAUCAAGAGGCUAGUAGUUGAUCAUCUCUCUUUCUUCAUCUACCUAAAUUUCUUUCUUUGUUUGUUUGAGAAAACAAAGUAGAGACUAUUCUGCUAUGGGGAUAUUCUAUACUUGUUUUCGAUAGAAAUUUAGUACCUCCUCAAGUCCUCAACUGUCUUGGUGAUGCAAAAAGGGGGUUGUAGCUAGAAAUAAACCACAAAAAAUAUGCAAGCAAGGCUGUUGAUGUGAAUGAUUUAGCUUGGUUUGGGUUAUACAAGGCGUAACGAUUCUUUGAACGUCAAAUACACUUUUCUAUAUUUAAGCUUAUUCUUCAUAAUGUGUAGGAUUGUAGGGCAUUUUAUUCAAUUAUAUUUUGGUUAGAUUGUAGAGAAAAGAAAGCUAGAGAAAAAGACAACGGAGAGAAACAUUUUUUGACAAUGAUUCAAAAUUUAAUUUCAUUAAUAAGUUAAAGAAUUAUAGCAAACUGUCAAAAAGGUCAAAAAAAACUUUUUUCUGCUUCUUUUAUUCUCUCUUGGCUAGAAGAGAUGUGCAUUCUUGAACCAGUGAUUUGCAAAUAAGUGACUACUUUUCCUGUAUACCUUUGAGUUGAAUGACCAUGUACUUAUCAAUUAUGUAUAUUUCAACAAAUUUAUGUUAAUAUUCAAGUUUCUAAUAUUUGAACGAGUGUAUAUUUGAUGCAUUAAUAGUGUCUAUAAGAUACAUUGUCAGUGCAUUAAAUAUGAAUCCUAUUUAAAUAGAUUAAGAGUACAUAGUUAAGAAUUGCAGAGAGCUUAAUUUGAGAUAAUAGCUUUUUGUAUGAAAAAAGAAAAAGAAGAUUUGGCUUUUUUUUUUUAUUUGUUUUUGUUAAUUUUAUUAUGUCAGCUUGAUUUUAUGUCAACAACCUUGUCAAUUCAUUAUGGUUAGUAAUCAACAGUUUUAAUAACAAUGCUUCCUAACAUAAAGUUUAAAGGGGAAAAUAAGAGAUUGCAAACUCAAAACCUUGAUGUCUUUUAGGCUUUUCUUGUUUCUUUGUCCUUUUGUAUUUGUUGUUUUAGUUAUAAAAUUGUGGAAGUAGCAUCUUGAUUGCCACAUUUUCGAUAAAAAAGUACCAAUUUAAAAAAACAUUUUAUCUUUAAUGAUAAGUAAGUUUUCUUUGACUUUUUUCUUUUUCUUGAAAGACAAAGACAAUAGUAUUCCAUAAAAAAGGAUAUGUGUUAAUUAAAUUAUUUGAAGGCAAGAAAUUAAGAUUAACAUCAAUAUUCGCUUCCAAAUUCUCACUAUUAUUUCUUUCUUUAAAUAAAGAAAAAAAUAAUAUUGUUUUUGAUCAUUCAUUUGAUUAAUUAAUCUGAAAUUGUCGUUGUAUUAGUAAAAUGAGUCGUAAUCACAAUAUGCAUGCGAUGUGUUUUCAUUGUACAAGUAAUUAUUGUAUAACUAAAGCAAAAAGAAAGUAAUUGCUACAUAACAUUAUUUUACUUAAAGGGAAACAUUUAAUUAAAAAAAAGUAAUCCCAAACUUAAAACAUUUUUUAAACAAAACGCUCCCCUUCUUAAACUAAAGUGAGAAUCAAUUAAGUAUGGUACAGCUUAUAGAUACAUUUAUGCCACCAGUAAUGCUUUGUUUCAGAAUUAUCUUUCCUUUUUAGAAACAAUAAAGAUGAAUUAUAUAUUAAAAAAGAGAGGGAUAAGAGUAUUCCUUUACAACCAGACAAAAAAGACCCACGACUACAUCAAAAACAGCCAAUGGGGCUUAAAAAUUUGGGUAGACCAGUACUUACCUUAGGUCCUGCCAAGUAGUAUUAAAAAGAAAAAAUUACAAAAGGUAAGAAAACCAUAACAAAAGGACCUGUACAUAAUCUUUUCCUAGAAGAAAGAUCCAAAAAAGGGUUCAAUUAAUAUCCCUUAAAAAAAAAAAAGCAGUAUAAACGAAGAAACAUCAAUGGUUCCCAUGAAAGUAGCAGCGAGCAUUAUGUUGCACAACAAAAGUAAAUAAAGCAGGGGACAGAACACCUCACACUAGGUUAAUAUUCUUUUCCGGGGCUAGCAUGCUGUCGUUGAUCCGAAACAAAUCUGAUAUCAAUCACUUUUUGUCUUUCUUAAUAUCAAUCACUUUUACAUAGAAUUUAAUUUUAAUUUUACAUUUGAAUUGUUGUGCUAGGUUAUGGUCGUAGAGGGGUCAACUUGAUGUAAGUUAAGCAACUUGGAUUUACGGCAUAAAACUCAACUAAAUUCCAACAAAGAUUAGUUCCUAACCCAUAUAGUAAAUUUGCAUAUCACCCACAUUAUAAACUAAUCAAUUACUGAAAACAUGAAAUUACCACUAGUACGUGCUUGCUAAAUCUCAUAAAUAAAUCAUCUUAAUAAGCAAUAAUUAUGUGUGCGAGGGCUAAUUAUUGUAGUUAACAUUCCAUGAAUUUUACCUCAAAAUUUGUGUUAAUAUUCUAGGUUGUGAUCAAGUCAUAUGUUCAAGUUUCUAACAUUUAAAUAGACUAGGAGUACUUCAUGAAUGAAGGGGUUUAAUUUGAAGUAAUAGCUUCAAGUAUGGAAUAAGAAAAACAAAGAUUAUGCUGUUUUUUUUUCCUUUUUUUUAAUAUUUUCUUGUCUUAGGUUGAUUUUAUGUCAACACUCUUAUUCACUAUUUGGUAAAUUUGGACACGUGUAUUUCUGCAGUAAUGUUUGUGAAAUGGUUUGGACAGCUAUUUAUUUCAGAUGUGCUGAGAGGUAGUUUAAUUAUUUUUGUUGACUGAGUUGUAUUUUCAAAGGUUGGGCGAACUUGUUAAAGAGUCCAACUGGACCUAUUUAUCCCCAAAAUUGAGCUUAAUUUUGGCAUAUGGCAUGUGGCAUGCCGCAUUGCCAAAGCUCUUCAAGGAAGAGCACAAGCAAAACCAGAGGCAAUGCGACGAGUAAAGGCCAGAUAAAUAAGAAGGCUAACCAUAAUUUAACCAAAAACAAAAAUGAAAAAAGAAAGAAAGAAAGAUAGUACACAUCAUGUCAUCACUCAUCAAUUAGACAUCCCAUCGUCACCAACCCAGGGUCCUUGGUCAACUUCAUCCACAUACGUUGUCCAGUAAAAAUCACUCAAGUGUCUCGCAUUGCUCGAAAAGGACAAAAAGACUGCCACGUGCUACCUUACGGGCAAUUGCUACUAGAGUUCUCCACCGCCCGCUUGGUGUCGCCUGUACAGCCACAACCACAGCCACCACCAUUUGCAUUUCUCCUGAUUCAGAAUUCUUAUCACAUUACUACUGUUGGAAAAGUGUUUGACAAACAACUUUCACCUGGUAAGUUGGACUCACUAUAACCUUUAUUAUGAAAUAUUUUAUACGCAUCGCUUUUGGAUUACAAAGCAUUACAAGGACGAAUUAUAAAGCAUUUUAAUUCUCAUGGUUUUUUUUUUUUUAAAGAGUGAUUUUGGGUUCAACUUUAAGAAAUUGUCUGCCACUUGUUCAUUGUUACAAAACAGGGUCGGAAGAGAAGCAGCUUCAACAUCAUCCACUUGUUCAGUCAACCAAUAAUUAGCUGCUGUUUUCAUUAACCAAUUUACAUUUGAGAAACAACAAAAACAAUGGCAAAAGCACUUCUUUCCAUGAUCCUGGAGCAGCAGUUGGGUGGUUCGUUCAUUCCUCAAGAGAUAAAGCAUCAUGUCGGAUUGGCUGUAGGUCUUGAAGAAGAAAUCCAAAAACUCACCAGCAACUUUGACGCCAUUCAAGCUGUGCUUGAAGAUGCGAAAGGAUAAACCAAACAGGGCAUGCCUAACCCAAGGCGCGGAGGAUAAGGUAUACCGAUGUGGAUGCGGCCCAUAUCCUAAGCUGUUUCCCCACAGACCCCCCAACAGUGUCCCAUAACUCUAAUCCUACAUCCACCACGGAAGAAUAACAAGACUCCCAAGGAGCGGAGGACGGCAAUGGAGGCAGCUGGCUCCGAUUCCGAUGGCAGAGAAUUCAGGAACCCACAGGAAAUGUGGAGGGAGCAAAUUGGAGAUGCAGAUGAAGGAGAUAACCAUAAGAAGACUCAGUGGUACAGUGAAGGCGUUGCCUACUGGGAAGUAAGUCUUUCUUAACUCUGGUUCUUACAUUUGUAUGUGGGUACC
Molecule: long non-coding RNA, 81610 nt
Filed under: Theobroma cacao (cacao)
Lineage: Eukaryota; Viridiplantae; Streptophyta; Magnoliopsida; Malvales; Malvaceae
Description: long non-coding RNA (TCAC_LNC003630)
Source: RNAcentral